ACCCUCUUCACCCUCUUCAUCAUCCACAGAAUCAGAUGACCGGCCCCUUAGCCAACAUAUAGACAAGCUUCUUAAAACCAAACCUACCAAACUAACAGAUUUAGGAACACUUGACUGGGAGCAAACUCAAAUAGAAUUUUCUAAGAAUAGAAUUAAACUUUGUGAGAAAUUCAAUUUGCCUCCUACUCAUCCACUCUUUCCAGAUAAUCCUGAACCUGUUAGUGUACAACAACCUCAACCCAACCCAGAACCUACAACAAACUCACCACAUAACUCAACCACACAAAAAGCCUCUGAAGUAGCUUCAGAUGCAACUACUUCAGAAACCCCCCAACACCAAGAAUCCUCAACCCUUCACAACUUAGAAAAACAUCUAGGUGGUGAAAUGCAACCAACACCCACUAAGGCCUCUAAGACAGUUCCUGAAAAGACUGUUUUGGAAACCCAAACAGAAACCCAAACCAUCCCUGAGCAAACUGUUCAGGAGCAAACUGCUUCUGAACAAGUUGCUCCUGACCAAACAACUCCUGACCAUCAAACAACAGAACAACAACAACCAGACUCACCCACUAUAAUAGACUUAACCUCUGACCAACCAACCACAUCAAAUACAACUCAAACUGAACCUUCACCCAUCCCUGACCAUAUCCUAGAGUCUGAGUAUAUAGAGGAACAGCCGAUUAGACUUAGUGAUGAGAUUCAGGCACUGAUUCUUCGCAGAACAGUUCCUGCACCUCCUAUUCACUAUUAUGAUCAGUGGAUAGAUCUUCAGAAGAGCUUUGAUGAGUUGCUGGACCAACUCAGAACCAAAUGUGUGUCAUCUCACUCUGCAAUGCUGAAGAAGCUUUUGGAUGAUAUGCAUGAAGCAGCUAAGGACAAAGAGCUGAAUUAUGUACCUCUUCUGGACAUCACUCCUUUCUAUCCUGAAGAAGAGUAUAUCUCAAGAGCUGCAAGAAUUCAUGCUGGGCAUGUAAGAAGAAUGAGGGAAAAGGAUGAGCUACUUAAGAAGAAAGAUGAACAGAUCAAGUAUCUCUUAGAACAGCUGUAUAAGCAAGCCCAACCUUAGUUGCACACCCAACUCUAGCUUGUUUUUACUUUUGUUCUGUGUAGUCUUAUCUUUGUACCUUAACCUUCAUUUAUAAAUAUUAUCAUUGUUUCUGAAAUAUUAUGUUCUAUUUUUUUUAACUCUAAUGAUAUUUAUUGAUUUUAAUGUCAUAUGCUCUGAUACUUCUUGCUCUGAUACUUAUUAUGUUUUUAUUUGGUUAUAUGCUCUACUACUCUGUCUUUUGUUCUUAUUCUUUUUGUUGAUGACAAAAGGGGGAGUAAAUGUAUAGUAUUUUUAAGGCACUGAGCCCCACUACAACCACUUCUAAAUUUCUUUUAAAUACUUCUGAUUUGAUUUUAUGAGUAUUUUAUUGAAAUUUAAUUAAUAAGAAUAGAACUUAGGGGGAGCUUACAAACCUCACCUUAAGGAUCUAUUAGACUCAGGGGGAGCUUACAAACCUCUAUCCCAGUGGUCAACUUAUUAAUUAGAUCAACAACAAUUGAACAUUUUAAAUACUGUUGUUUGUCAUCAUCAAAAAGGGGGAGAUUGUUGGAACAAAAUGUGUUUCACAAUGAACCUUAUUAAGUUUUGAUGAUAACAAGGUAUUAAAAAUUGUCAAUUGGUUAUUACUAAUAACUGUUCAAGUGUACAGGACCAAAGGCUACUCAAGUUAUUUCAAUAGGUCUUGGAAGAACAAUGGAAAGAAAAAGAAAUUCUGAGCAUCUGAAGAAAACUGCUCCUGAAGCUAAACUGCUCCUGAAGAGAUGACGUCAUCAGAAGCAGAAAGUCAUCAGAAGCAGAAAGUCAUCAGAAGCAAAAGUUUUCAUCAGAAGCAAUAUCUUCACCAGAAGCUACAUUUGAUCCUUUAAUCAAACUGAAGAUUCAAAGUUGCUGAUUCUCAAUUCAGUCUUAUCAAAGAAGAACGAAGAACUGAAAGGGAGGUAUCAACGGAUAUAUGGAUAACACUGAGCACUUGUCUCUCAUUAAUAGAGUUGACAAAGUACAAGUGUACAACCACUACCUCCACUACUCUGUUUUUUGUCUACGCUACAAGACAAAACAACAGCCAUGCCUGCAGAAUUUGUACACUCAAGAUGGGAAUGAAUUUGAAGUUUAUUCUUCAAAGGACUACACCCAAAUCAGGCAAAGGAUCACUGGUGGAUAAUCAAAGGAUUUCAAACGACUCUUUAAACGUGCUGAUUAUCUCAACGUCUCUUUCACGCCUCUAUAUAAAGGAGUGAAGACUUGAAGAUAAAACAGAGAUAUACACAAGUUCAAAAGCGCCAAAACUCUGUCAAUUUGAUACUACAAAGCACACUGAAUUUCUGCACUGAUUUGAUACAUCUUAGAAAUUCAUAGUCUAGAGUCUUUUCUGUAUUGUAUUGUGAACACCACUGAUUGUAUAUCAAGUGUUCAAUUCAAACUCAAUUCUCUGUAUUUUUUGUUUGAUUAGAAGUCUCUUGCCUGUGCUUGAGCAUUAGAAGUCUCUUGCUUAGUGCUUGAGCAUUGGAAGACUCUUGCGUGUGUGCUUGAGCAUAGUUUUGUGAAGUCUCAUACUUAGAAAGUAUUGAGCAGUUGUAAUCUUGUGAUUAUAGUGAAAUCUCCUUGGAAGUGCAAGGGGGACUGGACUACUUCCGUGUUGUGGAAGGAACCAGGAUAACUGCUUGUGUCUUUGUCUUUCUUUUCUCUGCUCUGUUCUUUCCGCUGCAUAUCUGAUUCUGAUCAUUUCAUCAGAAGCACUCUCAAACUGCUUCUGAAGUUUUAUCAGAAGAAGGAUUUUUUUUUAGACAGAAAAAGAAAACACAAUUCAACCCCCCCCUUCUUGUGUUUUUCUCACCUUCAAUCUUUAGGUUGACAAUUUAACUUCACGUUCUUUUGUUAGCCUAUUUUCCCAAAUAUAUCAACCAUUAACCCAAGCCAUGCUACAACCCUGAAAGACCUCAAAGUGUGUAUAUAAUUUGAUCUUGACUUUCUCUUUCGAAUUGUCUCAAAUUUACAGCAAGGUACAUUCAUGUGACGACUAGAGUGGGCAAAUGUCGUGACCAGCCCUACUGGAUCUAGGAGAUACAAACGUGUAACAUGGAAAAGAGUAUGGUUGAUUGUAUGAGCUAUCUUCUCCAAGCUUGUCCUGCUAGAAUGUAACAAGGUAAGUAAAUCAAUGAUGUAAAUGUGAUGAAUGAUGAUCUGAGCAACUCUUCGAAAAGGUAUGUUUUUCCUGAAAAAAUGCAAAGAAUAAAAUUUGUUUUCCUUUCAUUACAUGAGCAUAAGCAACAAUUUAAGUUUCAGAUUGUGAUGGCAGGUCAUCAUAAGUUGUUUUUAGAAUGUUUUUCAGUCACGUUUGAUAAGUUUUACAUCUAGAAUAGAUGAGUAUUAGAGAAAUUGCUUAUGAUUUCGGGACAUUUGGAAUGUUUUCUGUAUUUGAGUCUGCGAUUCUAUUCUUCCCGAAACAUAGUUAUUUUAGGGUGUUUUGAUGUAAUUGACGAAGAAAUCAUGCAAAUCGGCAAUGCAAGACAUCUGAAGAGGGUUGAAGACCUUGGGAAGAUGAAGAAUGAAUAUUCAAGAUGCCUCAUAAGGCUUUACAGAGAGAGGAAUUUUAUUCCCAAGUUCCAAGACAUCUUAUAUGGAAGCAAACACCCAAAAAGACGAAGAAAUAGAUGUUCCGGGGCACAGACAGCAUUCACAUGCACCUGACACACGUUUCCGUGACCUUGGGCACACGAUGAGGCGCUGAUGACAGUCGUCAUUAUGUUAUUUUUAUGGUCUUUUAAUGAUAUUUUUAUGGCACUUAGAGAGUCAAUUGCUUGUAUACAUGGUUAAAUCAUCUCAAGAUUCAUAAAAGAGAAGUUUGCACAAAUUGAAGAAGAAUGCAAGAAUUUACUGGAGAAAUCGUGCCACGAUGGACCUGAAUCGUGGCACGUUUGAAGCGUGGAAUUUACCUGAAGAUACUGGAAAAAUCGUGGCACGAUGGACGUAUAACGUGCCACGAUGGUUGAGUAAAUUUGCUGCCACGUAGGAUUAAUGAGCAAAUCGUGCCACGAUGGUCUCGAAACGUGGCACGAUUUUGGGCUUUUCUGAAACCCUAAUUCUUUGUCUAUAAAAGCAAAAUGCGAUCGGAAGGAGAGGGGGGCGAUUUUGGAGACAAAAACAGAGCAUAGAAGACACCAGGAAGCUAAAAGAACACGCAUUGGAUCUCACCAAACUCAUAGUUGGUUCUGGUUUAUGUAUGUUCACUAUUUUCUAUGUAUUUGAUUGUUUAGUUAUGAGUAGCUGAACUCUUAGAUUGAUUAAGCCAUGAGAUGAAUCUUUGUGAUCUGUGAACCAUGUAAUUUGUUAAGAACUCUCUUUGACAUCAAUGAAAACCUAGUCUUUAUUCAGAAUUAUUUGUGCUUAAUGCUUUUCUUAUGAUUGUUUGUAUGACUACUAACCCUAGCUUCUUUCAAUCACAUAAAUUGAUGCUAGGAAUUGAAUGACUACUAACCCUAGCUUUUAAUCCUGAAAUAGUAAUUCUGUUUAAUUCAACAUAGGAACCUAGAGAUAGGAAAUUGAGGAUUAUGACUUAUGAAUUAACGUUCUCACCAUGCUUCCGCGAUUAUUCAAUCGGUUUAAGAGAUUAAAAGGUUAUAACUUAGGAAAGGGUUUUGUGUCAAGAGAUUGAUCAAAACCACUUAGUUAAUCCGUCGUCAAGCUAGGUUAAUUUCUUUGAGAGAGAAGAGAGGCAAAUUACUCACAGUGAGCAAUAGAGAAUUCGAAAGACUUGAUCAUCUGUUUUAAUCCAAUUAUCAAACCAUUUUAUUUCCUGUUAUUUAUUAUUUUAUGCAAACCAAAACUACUGCCUCAGGCACUAAAAUAAUUUACACAUCCUAAAUAUUAAUCUUAUUGCUAAAUUGAAAUUAACACAGUCCUCGUGGGAACGAUAUUUUUACUACUUCGAUAGUUAUUGGUACACUUGCCAAUUAUCUAUCAAGUUUUUGGCGCCGUUGCCGGGGACUGUUGAGUCAUUUCAAUUUGGUAAUUUUGUUUUUAUUUAGGAUUUUUGUCAUUUAUAUUUUUGUUUAUAUAGAUAAAAAAAAUAUAUAUGAGUUAUGCUCUUCUUUUUCUUCUCAUUGUACUGUGCUACUAAAAAGUUUAUCCAAGUUUUGCAGCUAUGAUAGACAGGUUAUACCUCCAUGACACAGAAGAGAUUGGUAUGUUGAAGUAUGAAAAAUAUAUGCUAUCUUUGAAGAUAGGAUAUUUGGACAAAACAAUCUCGAGAUUAAAUGAGAGGUGUGGUCGUUGUGAGGUGGAUCAACCAGGUAGUAAUUGUGAAGAGAAGAAAGAGGUGAUCAACAUCGAUUACCAUACUCAACUUCAAAAUAUUUUAGAUGAAUUCUUGGUGUCAAAUCAAGUUUCAUUUGAGAAGUUUGAUGUUCAGUGUGGUGAUCUUGUUGAGAAGGCACAUGAGUCUCAAAGGAAGUUGGUUAAGAUGGAGAGAGAAUGUCACAAGGUUGUGGUGGAAGAAAAUCCCAAGGUGAGGAGUGUUGAUAUUGGUCCGAAAUCUGAACCAACGGAGAUUAAAGAAAUAACUCGUGUGCAAAUGGAUGCACGUCCUUCUCUAAGGUGGGAGAGCUUAAAUUCCAAAAGAUCAACAAUGAGUGCAUGGGAGUAUCUGAUUCUUUAUGCCAAAUUCAUGGAAUUCCUACCAAACAAGAGGAAGAAGAAGGAUGAUAUAUUCUUUCUAUCAUAUUUGCCACCCUAACAGUGGUUGAAGCGUCAAGCUCAGUGACGUAAAAGAAAGCGCUUGGUGGGAGGCAACCCAUCCUUUUUAUUAUGUUUUCAUUUUCAGUAUUUUAUUCCUAUUGUUGAGUCAGACAAUUGUCACUGUGUUUGAAUAACUCAGUUGUAUUCCCCUGUUUUGUAAUUGUUCUUGCACUUGUUUAUUAUUGAUGAAUUUUCUUGUUUGUUGACUUUUUCCAGUUUAGUAACAAAUGUUUGUUCAAGUGGUAUUCCAAAAGUUCAAAAGGAGGAGCGACUUGUGUUUCAAAGGCGAAGUGUACGACAGUGAAAGAUAGGUAGUCACAACUCCCAGAUAUCAUAACUGUCAGGUUCAUAGCCAAACUUUAUUUUUCCAAUUUUACUUAUAAAGAGUGUUCCAUGCAUUUACAAUUCUAGAACUUGCAAUUUUUCUCUGCUGUCGAUUGAUCUUUGUCAUAUACACACUGAGGCAAAAGUGCUUGGUCCUGUGAGCCUUUUGAAGCCUACCCUGAUUGUUUUGAAAUUUUAUCCUUUCUUUAGCCAAAUUGAGCCGGUAGGUUUAGAUCUUUUUGUUCGGUGACAAACUACAUUACAAGCUUAGAGACUUUUAGGAUUUAUCCCUUUUUGUUUUUCUGAGUUAGGCAUUGUAGAAUGUUGCUAAAUAUUAAGUUUGGGGUUGCUAUUGGAAUUUGCAACCAAUUAAGUUUGGGGUGGAGAUACUAGAGAACAAAAAAGAAAAGAAAAAAAAAAAAAAAGAGAAAUUCUCAUGAAAACAAUAUGCAAAAAAAAAAAGAAAAAAAAAAGAGAAUAGAAUGAAAAAGGGACAAAGAAUUGAAAAACCGAGUAACUUCAAACUCGAUUGUCCCAAUUGUUAUAAAUAAUCUCUAGUAUCCUUGCAAGAGUUGUUGUUCCAAAAGGUGAAUGAAUGAUGGAUUGAAUUUUGUGUUUAACUUCCGUAGGAGUGCCUAACUCAAAUUUUGUGUAGCCUACUUAUCCAAAUAUAUCCCAACUUCACCUAAGCCCCAUUAUAACCCUUUAAGACCUCAAGGUGUGCAUUGACAUUGAUUUUGAUUGAUGUUUAGAAACUUUUCAAGCUUAUGGUAAUAUGUAGAUUGCAUGUCGACUGUGUGUGAACCCUUUCAAAUGUUUGCGUGGAGUUGUGAAUUGGUGGUUGCUAACAAGCCAAACUAGCUCAUCUUUAGCUAGUAAGGUGUUGAACUUUUGGGUACUAUCGCUUGAUCAGGUAAUUGUUAUUUUACUGUCGAUUGUCAAUGAUGCAAGUAAAUUCCUUGAGGACAAGGAAUAAUUCAAGUUUGGGGUUGUGAUGACAGUCGUCAUUAUGUUAUUUUUAUGGUCUUUUAAUGAUAUUUUUAUGGCACUUAGAGAGUCAAUUGCUUGUAUACAUGGUUAAAUCAUCUCAAGAUUCAUAAAAGAGAAGUUUGCACAAAUUGAAGAAGAAUGCAAGAAUUUACUGGAGAAAUCGUGCCACGAUGGACCUGAAUCGUGGCACGUUUGAAGCGUGGAAUUUACCUGAAGAUACUGGAAAAAUCGUGGCACGAUGGACGUAUAACGUGCCACGAUGGUUGAGUAAAUUUGCUGCCACGUAGGAUUAAUGAGCAAAUCGUGCCACGAUGGUCUCGAAACGUGGCACGAUUUUGGGCUUUUCUGAAACCCUAAUUCUUUGUCUAUAAAAGCAAAAUGCGAUCGGAAGGAGAGGGGGGCGAUUUUGGAGACAAAAACAGAGCAUAGAAGACACCAGGAAGCUAAAAGAACACGCAUUGGAUCUCACCAAACUCAUAGUUGGUUCUGGUUUAUGUAUGUUCACUAUUUUCUAUGUAUUUGAUUGUUUAGUUAUGAGUAGCUGAACUCUUAGAUUGAUUAAGCCAUGAGAUGAAUCUUUGUGAUCUGUGAACCAUGUAAUUUGUUAAGAACUCUCUUUGACAUCAAUGAAAACCUAGUCUUUAUUCAGAAUUAUUUGUGCUUAAUGCUUUUCUUAUGAUUGUUUGUAUGACUACUAACCCUAGCUUCUUUCAAUCACAUAAAUUGAUGCUAGGAAUUGAAUGACUACUAACCCUAGCUUUUAAUCCUGAAAUAGUAAUUCUGUUUAAUUCAACAUAGGAACCUAGAGAUAGGAAAUUGAGGAUUAUGACUUAUGAAUUAACGUUCUCACCAUGCUUCCGCGAUUAUUCAAUCGGUUUAAGAGAUUAAAAGGUUAUAACUUAGGAAAGGGUUUUGUGUCAAGAGAUUGAUCAAAACCACUUAGUUAAUCCGUCGUCAAGCUAGGUUAAUUUCUUUGAGAGAGAAGAGAGGCAAAUUACUCACAGUGAGCAAUAGAGAAUUCGAAAGACUUGAUCAUCUGUUUUAAUCCAAUUAUCAAACCAUUUUAUUUCCUGUUAUUUAUUAUUUUAUGCAAACCAAAACUACUGCCUCAGGCACUAAAAUAAUUUACACAUCCUAAAUAUUAAUCUUAUUGCUAAAUUGAAAUUAACACAGUCCUCGUGGGAACGAUAUUUUUACUACUUCGAUAGUUAUUGGUACACUUGCCAAUUAUCUAUCAGGCGCCGAGCGCAUGAGUGUAGGCGCCUGGCGCCCAGAAACUCACUCACAUGCGCCUGGCGCAUGGUUCUAGGCGUCCGGCGCCUGUUCCUUGCGGGCCAAGAUGUUGUUUUGUGACUUUUUGGCGUGAAAAGCUCGGUAUUUUAGCCCAAGUUCAGGGGAAACUGUAACGCCCACUUUCGUUUAAUUAAUUAUUUAAUCGAGUUUAUGCCAUUAUAUUAUAUUUUUAUAAUAUAUAUGUGAGUUUUGUUGAAUUUAGAAGAGUUAAGUUGAUUUGAAAGAUUUGACGUGUUUUGAUGAUUUGAUAAGAUUAUGAGACUUAUUUUAUUGUUAAAUAAAAUAAGAUUUGAUAAGAAAAUAAAAAUAUUUAGUUGAGGGCUGUUUUGAUAUUUUAGAUAGUUUUGGGGGAGAAAGUGAGAUAAGAUAAGUAAUUAAGAGGAGAUAUAAAAGAGAUAGACCUAGUUUUAGAAAAACAUUGUUGUACGUACGUUUUUGGAGAAAAAGGGAGAAAACCAAGAGAAGAACAAGAGAGACCUUGGAGGGCUGCGAUUUCUACACAUUAAGGUAAGGGUGAGACUAAUAAUUCAAUAAUGUUAGUUGUUGUAAUUCUGAUGAUUAAUUAACAAAGUUAGGAUUGAUUUAGAAAAGUUUUGGAAUUAGGUCAAAAACCUAGAAAUUGAUGAUCAAACGGUAUAAUGAUGUUAGAUUGAUGUAGAAACCAUCCUACAACUUAGAAUAUGUUUAGGAUGAAUUCUGAGAUUGAAAUUAGGCUUAGAACCUUGUUAGAUGAUGAUUUUCGUGUAGAAAAUGCAUCAAGUCCGAGCCUAAAUUCAUCGCUCGCCAUGGCGAGUGUUAUACCCUGUUUUUGGACCUAAAAAUGCUGGGCCCAAUUUCAUUUCAAACUUUGUCAAAUGUCAAAUUUCAACUGCACAGUUCAAUUUGUCUCUGCUACGCAGUGUUUUCAAUCACAUUUUUACCUAUGUUUUUCUUGCAUAAAACCUUUCAAAAUGUCUUUACUUGUCUUGUAAGUCAUUCAAAAGUGUCUCUGAACCAUUACAUUGCUUUUUCUACAGUUUAUUUCAAAAUUUGCAAAAGGUCAUAUAGAAGGGUAUUUUGGUCAUUUCCUGCAGUGGGACCCAUUUUCAUCCUUGUGACUGUCUCUGAGUCUUUUCAGAUUGAUUUUUAACAUUUCAUCAGUAAACCUUGUUAAAUUCAUUUCAAACUUGCAUCUGAGUCAGUGUCAAGUCAAUUUGAGUUGGUUUAGGUCAUUUUUAGCCCUAGGGGCAUUUUGGUCAUUUCACAUGAAAUUUUGGCAUGGGGAGGUUACUUUGAAGUACCUCAUUUAGGCCAUUGGUUCGUUUUAGUCCGUUUUGUCAAUUUUAUUUUUGUUUCGCUUUACGUUUGGUCAAAUUACGUUUUUUAUUCAAUUUCGUUUUUAAUUGCAUUUUGGUCCCUCAAUUGAGGUCCCAAAAUUGCAUUUUUAGUCCAGAAUUUUCUUUUUUUACAUUUCAGUCCUUUUUGGAUUAUUUGCAGUUUAGUCCUUGAAGUUUUAUUUUUUGCAGAAAGGUCCAAAUUUCUUUUUUUGUCCAAGCCGUGCCACUCUCAUACAAUUCCAGGUGUCAUGCUCUCAUUGGCUCAAGUGUACACAUGUCAACUAUAUAAACAGUGAGUCAGAUUCAAAGCCAUUGAUCACACGCCACCUCAACAAACAGAGAACUCUCUCUCUCUCUUAGCAGUUACAGAUCAAAACAGAAAUUCUCAAGAACAUGAAGAACACAAAACCCUAACUGUUUCCAGAAAGUCACAAAUUCAUCAAGUUUCAGUGUUUUUCGUAUCAAUUCUCAGAGAUUCGCAUGAAUCUUCAUCACUGAAUUGAUCUUUCUCUGCAAUUCCAAACGCGAGCUCGCGUUGAAGCAAGCUCAAGCGUUGAUCACAGAGCGUGAAAAGAAGAGGGAAAGAAGCAAAGUUCUAAACCGGCGAAGAAGAUGAAAAAACGGAAUCAGUGAGAAAAGGAGAAUCACCGAUUUAUUUUCGGUCCAAGAACAAGCAAAGGAAUCAAAAAACCAGCAAGAACAUUCAAGUUUUCCCAAAGAUUUUCUCCAUUAAAGGUUUCAACCAAAACCUUAGGUAAAACUCAGAAUCUUUUCUCAGAAAUAAUAUCACUGUUAAACCUAAAAAUCACGCAAGCAAAACAGAUUCAAAAUUUCCAGAAUUCAAAGCCAAAACUAUAACCGUAAACACCAAAACCUAGAUCCGUGAGGAUCAAAGUUUUGAAAUCAAGAACAAGUACCAGAAAAGCAGUGAAUAACGAAACGAUGUAGAUUCUUAAAGAUCCAAACGUUUUCGUUCAAAAAGAUCAAAAAAAUCAGUUUCAAAACCGUACAAAGUUUUUCCAGAUCUACAUCAUUUCAAGCUGUAUUUGAGAAAUUUCUUGAUAGAUUCGUGUUUAGGGUUAAAGGACGAAUCAAAAGGUGCAAAAAUAUUUGAGUUCUGGAAAUUUUUUCACCGGAAACUGCUAGGUCUCGCCGGAGAAGAUGAAGUUUCCGGCGGACCUUCAAGGUCUCCGCCGUAGCUUCAUCCUCACCGGCGGUGAGGGUUUAGAGAGAGAUGAGAGAAGAGAGAGGGGUUAGAGAGAGAAAGAAGAAUACGAAAUGAAAAAACCGGCGCGCUAGGGUUUAUAUAGAGUGCUAGACCGGACCGGUUCAAGACCGGUCCAAUCCCAUGCGUUGUGAGCCCUUAGAUCUAGGGUUUGGGAUCUUGGAUCAAUCCAACGAUCCCUGAGCGUUCCUGUGAAAUCCGGAUCCCUUGGCUUUGGGCCUGGGCCUCUUUUCUUUGCUUUUCUACGUUUUUGCUUUUUUUGUGCUAUUUGCAUCGUAUUUCCUUGCUAUCUGCACCUAUUGUUUGUUUACUUCUUUUACAAAAAUCCCUAAAAAAUCCUGGUUGUUUCUUGAUGUAUUUUUGGUAUGUCUAUGGUAUUUUUGCAUAAAAAAAAAUGUUAAAAUGGCAUGAACUAAUUUCCAUGAGUUUCUACACUUUUGGUAUGUAUUUUGCUAUGUUUUGUUCUUGGUAUUUUGAUAUUAUGACAUGAAUGAAUGAUGCCUAAUAUGGUGAUGAACAUGCCUCUGGAAAUGUGCUUAUUUUUGUUGUGUUUGGAUAUGAUUUUAUGGAUUUCUUGUUUUACAAGAAAUAAUUGUUUAUUUUUUAGAAUAAAGUGGCAAAUUUCUCUAUGAACUUGGUGUGAUAUUUUGCAUGCAUAUGCCUCCAUUAAUUGCAUGUCAUGGCUUGAAACAAAAUUUCUUUCUAAAUUGCCAUGAUGUGAUGAUUAUGGGUCACUAGCAUCUUUAAGUAUCAUAUCAAAUGUCUUCUAGGUUUACUACCACUUUAUUACUUUUUCUUUGCCAUCUUUAUGCAUUUCCUUUUAAUUACCUCCUACUAUUGUGUACUUUAUGAUUACUAACCAUUUCAUCUCAUGUGCCAUACAUUUCAUAACAUUCCACCACUCUCUCCACUUUCUUUAGCUUAGCAUUUUUCAUUUUUUUUCUUUUUUGCAAGUUUUAAUUCAUUUGGUAAUGUAACUUGUUAUCAUUGGUUUGUAGCUUGGCAAAGGGGCCAUAGAAUGUAUUUAGGUAAUGUUGUAAUAUGGACUAUGGACACUAUGACGCACCGACACGCACACACUCACCUUAGAUGUAUGCAUAGGAUUGUAUGGUUAAAUAAGCGUUUAGGUUUUAAACACUUAGAGAAAAUCCAUCUUUUUUUCAAAAAAAAAAACAAUUGAACUUCACUUCAAAAAUUUUCAUAAUAAAUAUGAAGUCAACGCUUCAUUUUUUCCUUUCUUUUCUUUUUUUUCUUAAGAAAAAUUCAAUUCAUCUUAACCAUUUAGACUUUCUUUUUAAUCAUUAAUCAAACCUCACUUUUUUUGCUAAAUCUGAUGCUCAUGAAGCCUCCCAAUCUCCUUCUUCAAAACCAUUUUCAAAACUUAAAAUCAAACAAUUAAAACAAAAAAAAACAACAAGUCUUUUUAGCAAGAACUACGCCGGUUUUGAUCCCGUAAAACGGUACGUAGGCAAUGAGUCAAAACUCAUCCAAGCCGAAAUAAAAUCAAAUUCUACUUCUUCUCACCCCCAUUCUUAACUAAUCACACUUUCCCUUUUUUACAAAUAAGCAAUAAAACUAAAGCGUAGAAAUAAACUUAGGAGAACGGUUCUUAUGGAAUACCAUAAUCGCUCCGGGUGCCUAACACCUUCCCGUAGCGAAAACGACCCCCGAACUUAGAAUCUAAGGGUUUUUCUCAAUUUUGCCCUUCCCAAGAAAAAAUAGAGAAUAUCAACGGUCAAAAGGUUCAAGUCCAAUUAAUGGCUUGGCACCCAAAAACCAUGAUAACAGAAAUGGCGACUUCACUGGGGAUUCUUUUUAGCGGGUCGCGCCUAGUUUUCCUUAGUUUAUAUUUACGCUUUAUUUUAUUGCUUACAUAUGUGAAUAUUUGUUUACUUUCAUUCAACGUGUGGGGUGAGAAUAUCAAAAGUCCUAACCCGGGCUGAGUGAACUUAUGUUUAGGUAGAGAUAUAAUCGACAAUUCGAUCCGGGGGUUGCCUCGUGUAUUGGAUUAUGCGAUCAAUCUCACAUAGCUGAGGCAUUUUGAAGGUGAUAUUGUCGGCGUGUGUUGUCAUGCUUAGGCACUUCACUUUCAAUUGUUCGACGAAGCUAUGAACCGUAGUUACCAAACCCAUCCUAGCCUUUUUAGGACGUAGUGCGGUGGCUAAAUUGAGUGUUGUCUCAAACUUUAGUCGUCACGCGAUACUACACUCAAACUAGACCUUCUCACAAAUAAUCAUGGAACGGGUGUCGUCCUGUACUACCAUGAUAUAUGUGAGAGAGGUUGCAGUCUGGGAACUGUGUUAGAACCUUGGUUACUACUAUCCAAAGCCGUAGUUCACCGGACGCCGUGUCCAUCCGUGGCCCCGUUACUUUGAAACUCAACCCACUUUUAAACAACACAAUCAUGCAUACAUGCAUUCAUGCAUAAACAUUUUUCAUGCAUUCAUCGAAGGGUUUAAACAAAUGAGAAUUUUUGUAAAUAAUCACAGGUAUGAAGAAGACUAAGUGCUACAAGUUCAAGGAAGUAGAUUUGGUUAGUUUGAGAGAGUUGGCACUCAAGGUCAAGAGUCAAACAGGGUUCCGACUCCGGUAUGGGGGAUUGCUUACUUUGCUCCGAACCGAUGUGGACGAGAAGCUAGUGCACACUCUAGUGCAAUUUUAUGAUCCGAGCUUCCGUUGCUUCACUUUCCCGGACUUCCAGUUGGUUCCUACUCUCGAGGCUUACUCCAAUCUAGUGGGUUUACCUAUAGCCGAGAAAGCACCUUUCGCCGGUCCCGGGGCUCCUCUUACUUCUCUGGUUAUUGCUAAGGAUCUCUACCUCAAGACUUCCGACGUCUCCAACCAUCUUAUUACCAAAUCUCACAUCCGGGGGUUCACUUCGAAGUAUCUUCUUGAUCAGGCUAAUCUCAGUACUACUCGUCAGGAUACACUCGAGGCUAUUCUUGCUUUGCUUAUCUACGGGCUCAUUCUCUUUCCGAACCUCGACAACUUCGUGGACAUGAAUGCCAUUGAGAUCUUCCAUUCCAAGAACCCGGUUCCUACUUUGCUAGCAGAUACCUACCACGCCAUUCAUGACAGGACUCUCAAGGGCCGUGGGUAUAUUCUUUGCUGCACAUCUCUUUUGUAUAGGUGGUUUAUUUCGCACCUUCCGAGUUCCUUCCAUGACAACUCGGAGAACUGGUCCUACUCGCAGCGGAUUAUGGCCCUUACUCCUAAUGAGGUCGUCUGGCUCACUCCUGCCGCUCAAGUGAAGGAAAUCAUUAUGGGUUGCGGAGACUUUCUCAAUGUACCUCUUCUUGGUACCCGUGGGGGAAUCAACUACAACCCCGAGCUUGCUAUGAGACAGUUUGGUUUCCCUAUGAAGUCGAAGCCCAUCAAUCUUGCUACGUCUCCGGAGUUCUUCUUCUACACGAAUGCUCCUACCGGACAAAGGAAAGCUUUCAUGGAUGCUUGGUCCAAGGUUCGAAGGAAGAGUGUGAAGCAUCUAGGUGUGAGAUCCGGUGUCGCUCAUGAGGCCUAUACUCAGUGGGUGAUAGAUCGAGCUGAGGAGAUUGGUAUGCCUUAUCCAGCUAUGAGAUACGUGUCUUCGUCUACUCCAUCUAUGCCUCUACCUCUACUUCCCGCGACUCAGGAUAUGUAUCAGGAGCAUCUAGCUAUGGAGAGUCGUGAGAAGCAAGUGUGGAAAGCUCGGUACAAUCAAGCUGAGAAUCUAAUCAUGACUUUGGAUGGUAGAGAUGAGCAGAAGACUCAUGAGAAUCUGAUGUUGAAGAAAGAACUAGCUAAGGCCCGGAGGGAACUAGAAGAGAAAGACGAGCUGCUUAUGAGGGAUUCCAAGAGAGCUCGAGGACGACGAGACUUCUUUGCCAGAUACUGUGAUUCAGAUUCCGAGUCCGAUGAUCUUCCGACUACUUCCUAUGCUUGAGAGCUUUAUUUGUUUACCUUGUUGAAAAUGUUGUGUAAUUUUGAUUAUUUGCAAGAUUUCUAAUUUGUUUUAAAAUCCUUCGAUGAAAAAAAUAAGUCUUUUGCAUUCGCAUUUGCAUAUCAUGCAUCAUAUGCAUCAUGCAUUGGUCACAAAGGCUUCCAAGUGCUCACUAUCUCCUGGUUCCUCUGCCGCAGUGUGAAAAGUGGCUCGUGCUCAGAGAGUUUACGAACCAGAUAGAAUUGAUCGAACCAGAGAAUACAGAAGAAAGAAAAGGGCUAUGGAAGAAGAGAACGCUCAGCUUCGCACCGAGUUAGCCUCUCUAAAGGAGGAAUUGGCUAAAGCUAAUGACGUCAUGACUGCUCUACUAGCUGCUCAAGAGCAAUCAGCUACAGCUAUCCCUACAACCACAGCUGCACCAGUAACUACAAGCGUGCUCCCUACCACUUCUGCAGACAAUCGCUUUACUAUGCCAGUGGGGUUUCCGUAUGGGCUUCCACCGUUCUUCACUCCCGUUGCUACAGCAAGCACCUCGGGCACUGCUAACAAUGUUCUGAUCCCUGCAACAAAUGCCGCCUCCAUCAUUGCUACCUUGCCACAAACAACAGCAGCUGUCACUGAGCCUCUGGUACACACUCUGCCUCAAGGUAUUAACAUCAACACACAGCACAGGAGCAUCCCCGUAACCAAGACUAUGGAAGAGAUGAUGGAGGAACUUGCUAAAGAACUCCGUCACGAGAUCCAGGCCAAUCGAGGGAAUGCAGACUCUGUCAAAACUCAAGACCUUUGCUUAGUGUCAAAAGUGGAUGUUCCUAAAAAGUUCAAGAUUCCGGACUUCGACCGGUACAACGGGCUAACUUGUCCUCAAAAUCACAUCAUCAAAUACGUCCGGAAGAUGGGCAAUUACAAAGACAAUGAUUCCCUUAUGAUCCACUGUUUUCAGGAUAGUCUGAUGGAGGAUGCCGCAGAGUGGUAUACUAGUUUGAGUAAGAAUGACAUCCAUACCUUUGAUGAGUUAGCCACCGCUUUCAAGAGCCAUUAUGGGUUAACACUCGACUGAGGCCAAAUAGGGAGUUUCUCAGGUCCCUAUCUCAAAAGAAGGAGGAAAGUUUCCGUGAAUAUGCGCAAAGGUGGAGAGGGGCAGCUGCCCGUAUCACUCCUGCUUUAGAUGAGGAAGAAAUGACCCAGACAUUCUUAAAGACCUUGAAGAAGGAUUAUGUUGAGAGGAUGAUCAUCGCUGCCCCGAACAACUUUUCGGAGAUGGUCACUAUGGGAACCCGUCUUGAGGAAGCCGUCAGGGAUGGAAUUAUUGUGUUUGAGAAAGCUGAAUCUUCUACGAGCGCAUCGAAGAGGUAUGGUAAUGGACACCACAAGAAGAAAGAAACGGAAGUGGGGAUGGUGUCAGCGGGAGCCGGUCAAUCCAUGGCUACCGUCGCUCCUAUCAAUGCAGCUCAAAUGCCUCCGUCAUACCCAUAUAUGCCGUAUUCUCAGCAUCCGUUCUUCCCACCGUUUUAUCAUCAGUACCCUUUGCCGCCGGGCCAGCCUCAAGUGCCCGUCAAUGCAAUUGCCCAACAGAUGAAACAACAGAUGCCGGUUCAACAACAACAACAAAAUCAGCAAGCUAGGCCUACUUUCCCUCCGAUACCGAUGUUAUAUGCUGAGUUGCUUCCAACUUUACUCCAGAGAGGGCAUUGUACAACUAGACAGGGCAAGCCACCACCUGAUCCGUUGCCUCCAAGGUUCAGGUCUGAUCUCAAAUGUGAUUUUCAUCAAGGUGCUUUAGGUCAUGACGUCGAGGGGUGUUAUGCUUUGAAGUAUAUCGUGAAGAAGCUCAUCGAUCAAGGGAAGCUGACUUUUGAGAAUAAUGUUCCACAUGUCCUUGACAAUCCGCUACCAAAUCAUGCCGCUGUGAAUAUGAUCGAAGUGUGUGAAGAAGCUCCGAGACUUGAUGUCCGCAACGUCGCAACUCCUCUGGUGCCUCUGCACAUCAAGCUGUGCAAAGCUUCUCUGUUCAGCCAUGAUCAUGCCAAGUGUCUAGGAUGCCUCCGUGAUCCUUUGGGUUGCCAUGCUGUUCGAGACGACAUCCAAAGCUUGAUGGAUGAUAAUCUUCUGACUGUCAGUGAUGUUUGCGUGGUCGUGCCAGUUUUUCACGAUCCGCCUGUCAAGAGUGUACCUUUGAAGAAGUGUGCUGAGCCUUUGGUGAUAAGGUUGCCAGGACCAAUUCCUUAUGUUUCGGACAAGGCAGUGCCAUACAAGUACAAUGCUACUAUGAUAGAAAAUGGAGUAGAGGUGCCUCUAGCCUCCUUUGCCACAGUAAGCAAUAUUGCCGAAGGGACUUCUGCAGCACUAAGAAGCGGGAAGGUCCGUCCGCCGUUAUUUCAGAAGAAAGUAGCUACACCGACCAUUCCGCCAGUUGAAGAAGCAACUCCAACCGUUGUUUCACCCAUUGCUACAGACGUGAACCAGUCAGGCAAAUCUAUAGAGGAUUCAAAUUUAGAUGAGAUUCUGAGGAUAAUAAAGAGGAGCGACUACAAGAUCGUUGAUCAGUUGCUGCAGACUCCUUCGAAGAUAUCUGUCUUGUCAUUACUCUUAAGCUCUGAGGCUCACAGGAAUACUUUGUUGAAAGUGCUGGAGCAGGCUUAUGUUGACCACGAAGUUACGGUAGAUCGGUUUGGUGGCAUAGUGGGAAAUAUUACUGCCUGUAACAACCUCUGGUUCAGUGAAGAAGAGUUGCCGGAAGCGGGAAAGAGUCACAAUCUGGCUUUACACAUCUCGGUGAAUUGUAAAUCAGACAUGAUAUCAAAUGUGUUGGUGGAUACCGGUUCCUCCCUCAAUGUAAUGCCCAAGACAACUCUAGAUCAGUUGAGCUACCGUGGGACCCCGUUGAGGAGAAGUACUUUCUUGGUCAAAGCUUUUGAUGGAUCUCGAAAGAAUGUGCUGGGAGAGAUAGACUUGCCGAUAACCAUUGGCCCUGAGAAUUUCUUGGUUACUUUCCAAGUGAUGGACAUUAAUGCAUCCUACAGUUGCCUGCUGGGAAGACCGUGGAUACACGAUGCAGGGUCUGCUGAAGGAACUGCUUUCCAAGGUUUGACCAUUGAAGGUGCAGAGUCUAAGGAAGCUGGGGCUGCUAUGGCUUCAUUGAAGGAUGCUCAGAGAGCCAUUCAAGAAGGUCAGACUGCCGGCUGGGGGAAGGUGAUACAGCUCUGUGAGAACAAGCGUAAAGAAGGUCUCGGGUUCUCCCCGUCAUCAAGGGUUUCCUCAGGAGUUUUCCACAGUGCAGGGUUUGUUAAUGCUAUCUCUGAAGAAGCCACUGGAUCUGGUCUCAGGCCUGUAUUUGUUACACCAGGAAGCAUUGCGAGAAAUUGGGAUGCCAUUGACAUUCCUUCAAUCAUGCAUGUUUCUGAGUAAUGCGUCUUGUUGCUUUAGCGCUUUGUUUUCAAAAAUAACAAUCCUCUCGCUCUGCCCAAAACGAGAGUGAUAUUUUCUGUAAGGGCAUGUUUGUUUCGGCAUUGCCGUUGAUUAAUAAAAUUUUGUCGUUUCUUCCACGACUACUUUUUUUAGUGCUUUUUCCCUUGGAAACAAUGGUAAUGCCAGAAAAAACCAAAAUGUCUGUAUUUUCUUAUUAAUUUCAAAAUCUGCAUGAAAAAAAAACUCUUUCUAAAAUCAUCCAAAUCAUUAUAUGCAGGUUGAACCAUAAUAAACCCGUUGAACACAGUAAUCCUACGGUUCCUCCAAAUUUUGAAUUCCCUGUGUAUGAAGCCGAAGAUGAGGAAGGUGAUGACGUACCAUAUGAGAUUAUUCGGUUACUUGAGCAAGAAAAGAAAGCCAUUCAGCCUCACCAAGAAGAGAUUGAGCUUAUCAAUAUAGGUACCGAGGAGAACAAGCGGGAAAUCAAGAUCGGUGCUGCUCUAGGGGAAGAGGUUAAAAGUAAGAUCAUCCAGCUCCUCCGGGAAUAUCCGGAUAUUUUCGCAUGGUCCUAUGAAGAUAUGCCAGGUCUAGACCCUAUGAUCGUGGAGCAUCGGAUCCCUACCAAGCCUGAAUGUCCUCCCGUCAGGCAGAAAUUGAGAAGGACUCAUCCUGACAUGGCCCUCAAGAUCAAGAAUGAAGUUCAAAAACAGAUUGAUGCGGGUUUCCUCAUGACAGUUGAGUACCCUGAAUGGGUUGCUAAUAUUGUGCCAGUGCCGAAGAAGGAUGGUAAAGUCCGGAUGUGUGUUGACUUCAGGGACUUGAACAAAGCCAGUCCAAAAGACAACUUUCCGUUACCUCAUAUUGAUGUGCUUGUUGAUAAUACUGCUCAAUCUAAGGUGUUCUCCUUCAUGGACGGUUUUUCCGGUUAUAAUCAAAUCAAAAUGUCUCCUGAAGAUAGAGAAAAGACAUCUUUUAUCACUCCAUGGGGUACCUUCUGCUACAAAGUGAUGCCGUUCGGCCUAAUCAAUGCUGGUGCUACCUACCAAAGGGGAAUGACCACUCUGUUUCAUGACAUGAUUCACAAAGAAGUUGAGGUAUAUGUGGAUGACAUGAUUGUGAAGUCAACAGAUGAGGAACAGCAUGUUGAAUAUUUAACAAAGAUGUUUGAAAGGUUAAGAAAAUACAAGCUGCGAUUGAAUCCCAACAAAUGUACAUUCGGUGUCAGGUCCGGAAAGUUAUUAGGCUUCAUUGUCAGCCAAAAGGGCAUUGAAGUCGAUCCUGAUAAAGUCCGGGCCAUCCGAGAAAUGCCAGCUCCACAGACAGAGAAGCAAGUCAGAGGUUUCUUGGGACGUUUGAAUUACAUCUCCCGAUUCAUAUCUCAUAUGACUGCAACUUGCGGGCCGAUCUUCAAGCUACUCAGAAAGAACCAGCCUAUUGUAUGGAAUGAUGAAUGCCAAGAAGCUUUUGAUAGCAUCAAGAAUUACCUGCUGGAACCACCUAUCCUUGUCCCACCCGUGGAAGGAAGGCCUUUGAUUAUGUAUUUGGCAGUGUUUGAUGAAUCCAUGGGAUGCGUGCUUGGUCAACAAGAUGAAACUGGAAAGAAAGAGCAUGCUAUCUACUAUCUAAGCAAGAAGUUCACCGACUGCGAAACUCGGUAUACAAUGCUUGAGAAGACUUGUUGUGCUUUGGCCUGGGCCGCUAAACGCCUGCGCCAUUAUUUGGUGAAUCAUACAACUUGGUUGAUAUCCAGAAUGGAUCCGAUAAAGUAUAUCUUUGAGAAAGCGGCCGUUACUGGGAAGAUCGCACGCUGGCAGAUGCUUUUGUCUGAAUAUGAUAUUGUGUUCAAAACUCAAAAGGCAAUCAAAGGCAGCAUUCUUGCCGAUCACCUUGCUUAUCAACCUCUUGAUGAUUACCAACCAAUUGAAUUUGAUUUCCCUGAUGAAGAGAUCAUGUAUUUGAAAUCCAAAGACUGCGACGAACCGUUGAUUAAUGAAGGUCCAGAUCCCAAUAGCAAGUGGGGUUUAGUCUUUGAUGGUGCUGUCAAUGCUUAUGGCAAAGGAAUUGGGGCAGUCAUUGUAUCCCCGCAGGGGCAUCACAUCCCUUUUACCGCCAGAAUUCUGUUCGAAUGUACAAACAACAUGGCUGAGUAUGAAGCAUGUAUCUUUGGGAUCGAGGAAGCAAUUGACAUGAGAAUCAAACACCUCGACAUCUAUGGAGAUUCUGCGCUCGUCAUCAAUCAGAUAAAGGGUGAAUGGGAGACCCACCAUGCUAAUUUGAUUCCUUAUCGUGAUUAUGCGAGACGUCUGCUGACAUAUUUUACAAAGGUUGAGCUGCACCAUAUUCCUCGUGAUGAGAACCAAAUGGCUGAUGCUCUUGCUACUCUAUCCUCCAUGUUUCAAGUAAACCAUUGGAAUGAUGUGCCAAUAAUUAAAGUGCAACGCCUUGAAAGACCUUCACAUGUGUUUGCUAUUGGGGAUGUGAUCGAUCAGGCUGGUGAAAAUGUGGUUGACUAUAGACCUUGGUAUUAUGACAUCAAGCAGUUCUUGCUGAGCCGUGAGUAUCCGCCGGGUGCUUCCAAACAAGAUAAGAAGACCCUGAGAAGAUUGGCCGGUAGAUUCCUGUUAGAUGGAGAUAUUCUGUACAAGAGAAACUAUGACAUGGUAUUGUUAAGAUGUGUUGAUGAACAUGAAGCGGAGCAGUUAAUGCAUGAUGUACAUGACGGUACCUUCGGGACCCAUGCUACAGGGCAUACUAUGUCGAGGAAGUUGUUGCGAGCAGGUUACUACUGGAUGGCCAUGGAGCAUGAUUGCUACCAAUACGCCAGAAAAUGCCACAAAUGUCAAAUCUAUGCUGAUAAGAUUCAUGUGCCUCCGCACGCUCUCAAUGUUAUGUCAUCUCCAUGGCCGUUCUCAAUGUGGGGCAUCGACAUGAUUGGAAGAAUUGAACCGAAGGCUUCAAAUGGUCAUCGUUUCAUCUUAGUGGCAAUUGACUACUUUACCAAAUGGGUUGAAGCAGCAUCUUAUACCAAUGUGACCAAGCAAGUGGUAGCUAAGUUCAUCAAGAACAACAUCAUCUGUCGAUAUGGUGUUCCCAGCAAGAUUAUUACCGACAAUGGUACCAACCUGAACAACAAUGUGGUGCAAGCUCUUUGCGAAGAAUUCAAAAUUGAGCAUCAUAACUCCUCUCCUUAUAGACCUCAGAUGAAUGGUGCAGUUGAGGCCGCCAACAAGAAUAUCAAGAGAAUUGUCCAGAAGAUGGUAACCACUUACAAGGACUGGCAUGAGAUGUUACCCUAUGCUCUGCAUGGCUACCGUACUACCGUGCGCAGUUCAACCGGGGCUACCCCUUUCUCUCUUGUAUAUGGUAUGGAAGCAGUUCUUCCUUUGGAAGUGGAGAUCCAUCUCUCCGUGUGAUAAUGGAAGCAAAGUUAUCUGAGGCUGAAUGGUGCCAAAGCCGGUAUGAUCAGUUGAAUUUGAUUGAGGAAAAACGUAUGGAUGCCAUGGCUCGUGGACAGUCAUAUCAAGCAAGAAUGAAGACUGCUUUUGAUAAGAAAGUCCAUCCUCGAGAAUUCAAGGUAGGGGAACUUGUAUUGAAAAGGAGGAUAAGCCAGCAACCCGACCCAAGGGGCAAGUGGACGCCUAACUAUGAAGGUCCUUAUGUUGUCAAGAAGGCCUUCUCCGGUGGUGCUUUAAUCCUUACACACAUGGAUGGUGUAGAACUUCCAAAUCCAGUGAAUGUCGAUAUAGUCAAGAAAUACUUCGCCUAGAAAUGUGAAAAGAACAGCGUGGUAGGUCGAAAACCCGAAAGGGCGGCCUAGGCAAAAAUGCGCUUCCUGGUGGAUCGAAAACCCGAAAGGGCGGUCCAGGCAAAAAUAAGGGACAAAAACAAAUAUGAAAAGCUCGCUGAGAUUGUACACAACUCAGGCAAGAAUGAGUGUCUCGAUGAGCCGAAAACCCGGAAGGGCGGUUCAUGCAAAAAUGAGAUUGAAACAAAAGGCAAGUAACUAUAUCUGGCCAACCACCGUCCCCCUUGGGGCAUCUGCAGCUGUUAAUGACCAUCUUCAUCUGAAGCUUCCGCAUUUGUGAAAUCAAAGUUUUUGGGAAAUGUAAUGAUUACUGUGUUCAAUGUACCACCAACCAAUAAAAUUACCAUUUUCCAAGCUUUGUGAAUCCGUGGAGUCACGCCUUCGGCUGACCACCACUCUUAUACAUCAAAUUGAGCCUAUGCUUUUGUUUAAAACUCUAUUUUCUUCUAUUUUCAAAGCUAUAUACAAAUCAUUUUCCUUCUAUUUUGAUAAUGACAAUGCUUGAAACAAACAUUUUGAAAAAUUGAAAACCUUUUGUCUAUUUUGAAAAGCAAACCUGAGCAACAGGGUACAUUCAAAUGAAACAUGCAUGAGCGAGGGUAUGUUGGUGUCUAUUUCAAUAUGUGUUACAAGCAGGUUCUCCUCCAAGAUAAUCUGUGGUCAAUGGCAAGAAUGAAAAAACAGAAUGAAAAUGCAUGAAAAUAAAUGAGCUCGCUAAGUUGAAAACCCGAAAGGGCGGCUUAGGCAAAAAUGAGCACCCCGCUGGAUUGAAAACCCGAAAGGGCAGUUCAGGCAAAAAUGGGGCAUUAAAAAGAAUUUAUUUCCCCGGUGGAUCGAAAACCCGGAAGGGCGAUCCAGGCAAAAAUGGGAUGCAAAAAAUGAAUGAAUGUAAUUGAGAAUAUAGCAUGCAAAAAGCAUUGACCACAGAUGCAAUGUCUACAACAUACCCAGCACUGAAAUGCCCAGCACAACGGCGUUUUCCCCAGUGGAGCCUCUCAAGAUUCUAUCUCCAGCAAGUUGCAUAUCUACCUGCCCUCAGCUAUGGUUCCGACACGUCUCCCAACGACGUCAUCUCCAAAGAGGAUUUCCAAGAAGGUGUAAUAUAGCACGAGCCACUACGUGCCCAAUACUCUAAUGUCUUGUCUUCCCCGUGAAGUCGUGCCUACAAAAUGCCAACAGUCAUGCAUUACAAGCAUUCAUACAUGCAUAAUCAUGCAUAUUACGUACCCAUGCAUUUAAUAAAAUUGUUAUAUCAUCCAUGCAUAUUGCAUUUCCAAUGUCAAUAUCAGUCUCAAUUCAAAACUCAUGACAGGUCCUUUGUCAAAACCUUGUGAGCCAAUAAUAUCGGUCAAUUUCUACCUUUCAAUUCAAAUCGACGUCAAGUCAAUCUCAAUCUAUAUUUUGUCAACAAACCAAUCCCCUGUGAAUAUGUUCGGUCAAGUGGCUAGUUCAAGUCCAAGAAUAGCUUGUACCUAUCAAUUUGCUUAUGUUAUCGGUCAAGUGCCCAGCUCAAUCCAAGAGCAGCUUGUACCCGCCUAUCUGUCUCUGUUCGCUCAAGUGGCUAGCUCGAUCCAAGGGCAGCUUGCGCCUGUCCAUUUUGUAUUUGUCUCCGGUGGAGUAACCAGUUCGCAUCCAAGAAUAAGCUCGCACCUGUCUAUUUGCCUUGCUUUCAGUCGAGUAACCAGUUCGAAUCCAUAAGAACAACUCGUACUUGUCAAUUUCCCCAGUCGGGUCACCAGUUCGAAUCCAUAAGAACAACUCGCACUCUCCAAUAUCCCCAAGUGAGUUGCUAGUUCGAAUCCAUAAGAACAACUCAUGUUUGUCCAGUAACCUCUAUCCCCUGUGAAGUGACCAGUUCGAAUCCAUAAGAACAACUCGCAGUUGUCUGUUUGUUUCAUCCCCGGUCAAGUGGCUAGUUCGAAUCCAAGAACAGCUUGUACCUGUCCAACUUGUUUCUAGUUUCCCGUUACUCUGCUAUUCGCCGUCUUUGUCAAUGUCUACCAAUCCCGCAAUGGAUACGACAUAUUUUGUUAAUUCCAAUCCCCACGAGGUCUUGCAUUCAUAAUCCAAAUGAUGCAUGGCAUGCAUAUUAUUUGAAAAUGGGUAGGCGUAUUUUUACGUCCAAAUACAGUGCAAAUGCUAAUAUUUAAGUAUCUUCGUCCUGUCAAGCCAAAGACUCCGUCUCUUGACUCUCCAGACAAAGAAACUUAAAUAGGGGCAGCUGUUAUACCCUGUUUUUGGACCUAAAAAUGCUGGGCCCAAUUUCAUUUCAAACUUUGUCAAAUGUCAAAUUUCAACUGCACAGUUCAAUUUGUCUCUGCUACGCAGUGUUUUCAAUCACAUUUUUACCUAUGUUUUUCUUGCAUAAAACCUUUCAAAAUGUCUUUACUUGUCUUGUAAGUCAUUCAAAAGUGUCUCUGAACCAUUACAUUGCUUUUUCUACAGUUUAUUUCAAAAUUUGCAAAAGGUCAUAUAGAAGGGUAUUUUGGUCAUUUCCUGCAGUGGGACCCAUUUUCAUCCUUGUGACUGUCUCUGAGUCUUUUCAGAUUGAUUUUUAACAUUUCAUCAGUAAACCUUGUUAAAUUCAUUUCAAACUUGCAUCUGAGUCAGUGUCAAGUCAAUUUGAGUUGGUUUAGGUCAUUUUUAGCCCUAGGGGCAUUUUGGUCAUUUCACAUGAAAUUUUGGCAUGGGGAGGUUACUUUGAAGUACCUCAUUUAGGCCAUUGGUUCGUUUUAGUCCGUUUUGUCAAUUUUAUUUUUGUUUCGCUUUACGUUUGGUCAAAUUACGUUUUUUAUUCAAUUUCAUUUUUAAUUGCAUUUUGGUCCCUCAAUUGAGGUCCCAAAAUUGCAUUUUUAGUCCAGAAUUUUCUUUUUUUACAUUUCAGUCCUUUUUGGAUUAUUUGCAGUUUAGUCCUUGAAGUUUUAUUUUUUGCAGAAAGGUCCAAAUUUCUUUUUUUGUCCAAGCCGUGCCACUCUCAUACAAUUCCAGGUGUCAUGCUCUCAUUGGCUCAAGUGUACACAUGUCAACUAUAUAAACAGUGAGUCAGAUUCAAAGCCAUUGAUCACACGCCACCUCAACAAACAGAGAACUCUCUCUCUCUCUUAGCAGUUACAGAUCAAAACAGAAAUUCUCAAGAACAUGAAGAACACAAAACCCUAACUGUUUCCAGAAAGUCACAAAUUCAUCAAGUUUCAGUGUUUUUCGUAUCAAUUCUCAGAGAUUCGCAUGAAUCUUCAUCACUGAAUUGAUCUUUCUCUGCAAUUCCAAACGCGAGCUCGCGUUGAAGCAAGCUCAAGCGUUGAUCACAGAGCGUGAAAAGAAGAGGGAAAGAAGCAAAGUUCUAAACCGGCGAAGAAGAUGAAAAAACGGAAUCAGUGAGAAAAGGAGAAUCACCGAUUUAUUUUCGGUCCAAGAACAAGCAAAGGAAUCAAAAAACCAGCAAGAACAUUCAAGUUUUCCCAAAGAUUUCCUCCAUUAAAGGUUUCAACCAAAACCUUAGGUAAAACUCAGAAUCUUUUCUCAGAAAUAAUAUCACUGUUAAACCUAAAAAUCACGCAAGCAAAACAGAUUCAAAAUUUCCAGAAUUCAAAGCCAAAACUAUAACCGUAAACACCAAAACCUAGAUCCGUGAGGAUCAAAGUUUUGAAAGCAAGAACAAGUACCAGAAAAGCAGUGAAUAACGAAACGAUGUAGAUUCUUAAAGAUCCAAACGUUUUCGUUCAAAAAGAUCAAAAAAAUCAGUUUCAAAACCGUACAAAGUUUUUCCAGAUCUACAUCAUUUCAAGCUGUAUUUGAGAAAUUUCUUGAUAGAUUCGUGUUUAGGGUUAAAGGACGAAUCAAAAGGUGCAAAAAUAUUUGAGUUCUGGAAAUUUUUUCACCGGAAACUGCUAGGUCUCGCCGGAGAAGAUGAAGUUUCCGGCGGACCUUCAAGGUCUCCGCCGUAGCUUCAUCCUCACCGGCGGUGAGGGUUUAGAGAGAGAUGAGAGAAGAGAGAGGGGUUAGAGAGAGAAAGAAGAAUACGAAAUGAAAAAACCGGCGCGCUAGGGUUUAUAUAGAGUGCUAGACCGGACCGGUUCAAGACCGGUCCAAUCCCAUGCGUUGUGAGCCCUUAGAUCUAGGGUUUGGGAUCUUGGAUCAAUCCAACGAUCCCUGAGCGUUCCUGUGAAAUCCGGAUCCCUUGGCUUUGGGCCUGGGCCUCUUUUCUUUGCUUUUCUACGUUUUUGCUUUUUUUGUGCUAUUUGCAUCGUAUUUCCUUGCUAUCUGCACCUAUUGUUUGUUUACUUCUUUUACAAAAAUCCCUAAAAAAUCCUGGUUGUUUCUUGAUGUAUUUUUGGUAUGUCUAUGGUAUUUUUGCAUAAAAAAAAAUGUUAAAAUGGCAUGAACUAAUUUCCAUGAGUUUCUACACUUUUGGUAUGUAUUUUGCUAUGUUUUGUUCUUGGUAUUUUGAUAUUAUGACAUGAAUGAAUGAUGCCUAAUAUGGUGAUGAACAUGCCUCUGGAAAUGUGCUUAUUUUUGUUGUGUUUGGAUAUGAUUUUAUGGAUUUCUUGUUUUACAAGAAAUAAUUGUUUAUUUUUUAGAAUAAAGUGGCAAAUUUCUCUAUGAACUUGGUGUGAUAUUUUGCAUGCAUAUGCCUCCAUUAAUUGCAUGUCAUGGCUUGAAACAAAAUUUCUUUCUAAAUUGCCAUGAUGUGAUGAUUAUGGGUCACUAGCAUCUUUAAGUAUCAUAUCAAAUGUCUUCUAGGUUUACUACCACUUUAUUACUUUUUCUUUGCCAUCUUUAUGCAUUUCCUUUUAAUUACCUCCUACUAUUGUGUACUUUAUGAUUACUAACCAUUUCAUCUCAUGUGCCAUACAUUUCAUAACAUUCCACCACUCUCUCCACUUUCUUUAGCUUAGCAUUUUUCAUUUUUUUUCUUUUUUGCAAGUUUUAAUUCAUUUGGUAAUGUAACUUGUUAUCAUUGGUUUGUAGCUUGGCAAAGGGGCCAUAGAAUGUAUUUAGGUAAUGUUGUAAUAUGGACUAUGGACACUAUGACGCACCGACACGCACACACUCACCUUAGAUGUAUGCAUAGGAUUGUAUGGUUAAAUAAGCGUUUAGGUUUUAAACACUUAGAGAAAAUCCAUCUUUUUUUCAAAAAAAAAAACAAUUGAACUUCACUUCAAAAAUUUUCAUAAUAAAUAUGAAGUCAACGCUUCAUUUUUUCCUUUCUUUUCUUUUUUUUCUUAAGAAAAAUUCAAUUCAUCUUAACCAUUUAGACUUUCUUUUUAAUCAUUAAUCAAACCUCACUUUUUUUGCUAAAUCUGAUGCUCAUGAAGCCUCCCAAUCUCCUUCUUCAAAACCAUUUUCAAAACUUAAAAUCAAACAAUUAAAACAAAAAAAAACAACAAGUCUUUUUAGCAAGAACUACGCCGGUUUUGAUCUCGUAAAACGGUACGUAGGCAAUGAGUCAAAACUCAUCCAAGCCGAAAUAAAAUCAAAUUCUACUUCUUCUCACCCCCAUUCUUAACUAAUCACACUUUCCCUUUUUUACAAAUAAGCAAUAAAACUAAAGCGUAGAAAUAAACUUAGGAGAACGGUUCUUAUGGAAUACCAUAAUCGCUCCGGGUGCCUAACACCUUCCCGUAGCGAAAACGACCCCCGAACUUAGAAUCUAAGGGUUUUUCUCAAUUUUGCCCUUCCCAAGAAAAAAUAGAGAAUAUCAACGGUCAAAAGGUUCAAGUCCAAUUAAUGGCUUGGCACCCAAAAACCAUGAUAAUAGCGAGCUAUGAAUCUCGCCUCGCGAGUGAUGAACUUCAUCGCUCGCCACGCGAGCCCUUCCCUUCGCCUCGCGAGUCCUUUUGGUACAGCUCGCCACAGCGAGCAACCUUGAGUGCCUGAACAUACCUAGUGAUGAUUAAAACCAUAAAGGGAUUCACUCUUGAUCAAAACCUUGAGCUAAGGCAGAGAGCAUGUUAGAUUUUGAAAUUUCGACUUUUUAGUUGGACCUUGAGUGCCUGAACAUACCUAGUGAUGAUUAGGAAUGAAUGUAGGACAAGAUUGAACCCAGAACAACAUUAGUUGGGGAGUUGGCUUCAACUCGCCAUGGCGAGUAGAUACUCUCGCCUCGCGAGCACUUCCAGAUUGGAGUGCAUUGAGUGUUUGUGCGAUCUGUGUCGCACGUUUUAAUCAAGAGUGAAUCCCUUUAUGGUAAUGAGAUCUAAUGAUGACGUUUAAUGCAAUCUGUAAAGCAGUUUAAGAUAUGUUGAUAUUAAUUGAGUAUGAAUUAAUGUAUUAUACAUUAUGUAAGAUAUGAAUGAAAUAUUAUGAUGCUAUUGAAUUGCAAUUGAUAUAAUGAUAUCAUCCUGUUGUUGUGUGACUUGACUAUGUUGCUGCCGUUAUUUAGCUAAGUGCAUAAUGUCUAUAUAUAUGAUGAAUAAGAUGACGUUUAGCUCCAAAUUAUUGGAUGCAUAUUGAUAUGAUGAUUACGGUGAAUUGUUGAUAAGAGUCCAUGCAUUAGCAUUCAUUGAGCUUAGUCCUCACCACGAUUAUUAGGAGCUUUUGAAGUAGCAAUAAACGUCACAAGAAAGGGGGGGUUUGAAUUGUGACCCUUUUAAAAAUUAUUCCUGAAACUUAAGUUUAGAUUUAUAUACUCAAGAAUAAUCUUGGUGUAUGUUAGCUUAACAAGAUUAGAGUAUAUAACAAUUAAUUGAAUUUAGAACAGAACAUUCUGAAGACUGAUUAUAAACAGAAUGAGAAAAAUGAUGUUAAGUUAAAAGAUUAUUUUAGCAAGGACCAGAAUGUUCUGGAGAUUAAUAAAAUAAUAUGUGUGUGUUGUGUAACUUUAAAUAAAGAGAGAGAUAGAGAUAGAGAGAGAGAGAAGAAUAACACAGGAGAGUUAUGCUGGUUCACCAAACCCGGCUACUUCCAGUCCCCACACCUCGUGUGAGAUUAUCCACUAUAGUUUUCUUGCUAACAGAAACUUCUGACUAGCACUACAAUAUCUUGAUCACACCAGAUCAGUCCGUAACCUCUGUAUUAUCAACCUUAGCAGGCUUAUACAAUUCUUUGCACACUAGCAAAAGAAAGGUUGGAAUUUUCUAUCUCAAAACUAUUAAGCCCAAUAGACUUUGAGAAAUACAACACUCUUUGUAUGAAGAGAUUUGUUUUGGAUCGAAUAAAUACUCAAAUCUUUGUUUGAGUUUUACAAGAGGCAAAUUCAAGAGAGAUGAUCCAAGAGAUAUAGUGAGAGAGCUUGGAAUUUGCUUUGUUUGUGAAGAGCUUUGUUUGUAGUGAUGAUUUUCACUUUGAGAGAUAUUAGCUUGCAAAACUCUUGCUUAUGACCUUCAAAGGCCCUUGUAUUUAUAGGUGAGGAGUGUCUUGGUGACCAAGGGAGAAAAUAGAGCUGUUGGACACGUUUUUGAUAGCUGUCCAAAGUCUCAAUUGAUUUCUCUUUUCUUCUUUAAAAUAGCCAGAACGUUCUCAGAAUGUUCUUUCUGAUUUGCCUGACUUAGAAAGCACUGUUGCUUUGCUUGCGCAUGAGAUAACCAGCUGUGAUGAGUUGUAUAACUUGCAGCCCACUUCUGAUGAUGUCAUGUCCUUUUGCUCUAGUGAUGUCAUGCUUAAGUAAGCCAUGUGAUCUUAUCCAUUUAAUGGGCUUUACUUUUCCAAAUGGGCUUAAAGCUUUUCUUAUGGCCCAAUAGACAUAAUCAGCCAAGCUUUCUUGCUGUGCAGACUUGUUCGCUUUUGAUGUACUGUUCCAUUUUCAUCGUUUUCGCCAGAACGUUCUCAAUUCAUUCUCAUGAAACAAAUUCUCACAAAAACGAAUUAGUAGAUAACAAGAUUAAAUAAAUAUAAUAUGUUUGUAAUCUUUAAAACAUCAAAUAAGGAUUUUGUCUCAACAAUCUCCCCCUUUUUGAUGAUGACAAACAUUUAUAAUUUAUUUUGAUUUUGAUUUUGAGUUUUUGAAAAAUUUGUUAAAAAAACUCCCCCUCAAUUUUAGCAACCAAAAUUUUGUGCCUUUUUGAGAGUUUUCCAGAAUUUGUUUAUGGACAAUUGAGUUUGAUAAUUUUAUCAAAGAACUCCCCCUCAAUUCAUGCAUUCAAGAUUUAAUAUGCAAAAUGAGAAUAUAGAACAUAAACAACAUAAUUCAUAAAUCAUGAAGAUCAUUACAAGGUAUCAAACCUAGCAUUUCAAAACAUCAAAAAGCAUUGUUCAUAUGCGCACAUACUAGCAGCAAUUUGAUCCUUAGUUAAUCAUGAUCAAAAGACAUAAACAGAGAAAUAAAAACAGAGUUUUUUAAACAUCAAAAUACUUAAACAUAAACAGCAGCAUAGUGAUCAGCAUAGUGAUCUAUUCUUCCCUAGAUCCUAACUCAUAAUCCCCUAAAUCAUCUCCCCCUUUGUCAUCAUGAAAAGGGGCAGCAGCAGCAGUAGGUGGAAUGGUUGGAGAAGAAGCAUCAGAUGAUGAAGAGAUAGUAGGCAUGAACAUGGGAUACAUAGGAACUGGGAAUGGGUUUUGUUCUGGUUUAGCAAACUCAUUCUUGUCACUUAUGGAGUCCUUCCACUUCCUUGACAGAGACAUUUCAAAAGUCAUCCAAGACAGAUAAUGCAAAAUUGCAUUGUUCCCUUCAAUUACCCUAGUCAAGUCACUGCGUGUCUUGCUGCAGUCUUUCUCAACCUUGGUCCUUUUGGUUGGCCUUUCAUUGUGCUCAAAAAUCCUUUGCGCCAUUGAAGGAGAUUCAUUGAAUCUUGAAGGAAAGGAGAGAUUAGUUUGAAGAGACCUAAGGGAAUCCAUUUGGACAGAUGAAUCAAAAGCUUGUGGAGCAAAUAAUUUGUCCACUGAAUCACAUUGAAACAAAGCAGAAUAAUCAUGCUUUUGAGGAGAGAUAAACAAUUUUGAAGGUUUUGUGAUUAUGGUUUUUUCAGUGAAGCUUUGAAGAAUUUCUGAAGCUUUGACUUUUGACAGAGAAGCAUGAUUGCCAAAGUUUUCAAGCAGUUCCUGAUCUUCCUCCAUCACAGGAGAACGUUCUGAAGAACGUUCUGGAGGAUUGCAGUGUUCAUCAGAAGCAUUUUCUGGAACUGGAUUCUGCAGAUCAGACCCAUCUUCCCUCUUUCUUUUGAGGUCAGAAGGAGGCUCAUCAACAGGUUCCUCCUUCAUGUGACUCAGAUUUUUCACCUUCAAAAGGAAUAUGAUUCUUAAUGAAGAUUUUGGUAAGAGCCAUUCCAUAAGGAAGACAAGAUUUUUUGUUACGAGACUGAAUAACAUUGAUCAUGUUAUGAAUAAUGAUAUGAGGCAGACUCAAUUUUUCUUUCAUUAAGAGAUGAUACAUGACCAAGAGAUCAUUUGAACUAACAUGUUGAAAAUUACCAUUUCUAGGCAAGACACAAUGUUGGCUUAUGCCAUUCAGCAUUUUUGGGGUUGGCAGAAGGUUCGAAGAAACAAACUCAGUGACAUUUGGUUUGAAAAGGAGUUUGUAAACAUUUUCAGAAUUGACUUCAAGUUUUUCAAACCAAUCAUCACCAAAGACAGUUUGAACAGAAUUUGAGAUACCAAGAGUAUCAGAGAUUACCUGUGGAGUGAGACGUAUCUCAACAUCCUUAAUCCUAGACACUAUUAAGCUUUCCUCAGGGUAUGCUUCUGCCAUGAAAUAGAAAGCUUGGACAAGCUUUGGGUAGUGUCUCUCACGAAGCUGUAGAAAUUUGGUCCAGCCUUGCUCAUCAACAUACUCCUUAAGAACGACUUUGUCUUUUUCCAGCUUGACAAAAUCAUAAUACCUUCCAAUUCCAAUUGACCUAUUUCCCCAUUUUUCUUUGAAAUCCUUUUUCAGAGAAGGAUCAAACAGAGGUACUCUCUUUCCUGUAGAGAUAUGAAUGAUCUUCUGUUUUGAAGGAUUUUUGCGCUUUGGAGAACAUUCUGGAGAAUAAUCUGAAGAGAGUUCAUAGUCUUUAUCAGAAAGACUUUCUGAAGAACGUUCUGGUUGAGCAGUUUGCUUCUGCUUUCCUUUGUCCUUCACAGUUGGUUUAGGCUUUGGUUUUGGUACAGAAACCUUAAUAGGAGGUUUAAAGACCUUUUUGUUACUCUUAGGUUUGGGCUUAAGAGGAGAAGGAGUUUUCUUAGCCAAAGGGGUAGUUGGUUCAGUUUCUUCAUCUGAAUCAGAGAUUUCAUGUAUAGUUGUGUCUACACUGUUGGUUUUCUUUGUUCCAACUGCAGAACGAAGCCUUUGAGAUUUUCUAGGUCUUGGAUUAGGAGCAGAUUUAGCCUCCUUGGGAGGCAACUUCCUUUUGGUCAUGUUCCUGAGAUGAGGAGCCAUUUUGUUCAAGUUUGGAGGUUCCUGAGGAGCGGUUGGUUGAUCUUCAACAACUAUUCUUGGUGUGUUGAGAUUUAGGUUGACUGAAGUUGGUUUUGGUUCAACGUAGAGUACCAUCGCGAGAGGAUGGAAGGAUUCAGGGUCAGGGAUGAAGGGAAGUUUUUCGUCGUUCUUUAAUGGAGUUUUUUCUGGUGUGGUUUCGGUGGUGAGAUAACCAUCUUGCAUGAUUGGUUCUGUGGAGUUAUUGAGCGGAGAUUGUGGUGGAGUUUCGAAUGGAGUGGUUUCCUUGGGAGAUUGUGGGGUUGAAUCGAACAGAGGAGGAGAUGACGGCGGUUUUGUCACCGGAGGAGAUGGUGGAGAAGGAGAACGGGUUGGUGAUGGUGAAGGAGAGGAGUCAUCUGGGUUGGUGUUUCCGAUUCCUUUGGUUCGAGCCAUUUUGUGAUGGAGAAAAUGGUGGUUGAGAGAAGAAGAAGAGACAGUUUGAAGAAGGAAGAAAGUGGGAGUUUAGAGAGAAAAAGUGAAAACCGGUUUUGGGAGAAGGAAAAAGGUAGGAAGUGACUUUUAGUGGUUUUAAUGAUGAGAGAGGGAACACAGCAUUUAUUAGCUGUAAUUUUUAUAAUUUGAUCCUAGUAAUUACCUAGUUACAUAGAGAUCAGAUUUUAUAGAGAAAUGAGAAGGGACAUGGUUGAGGCGUGGCCCUCAAGUCAGUCUUUGGAAGACAAAUUUUCAAAGAAUGUUUUCAGAACAUUCUGAUGAAGAGAGACUCUUCCUAAUUUGAUUUUUUGCAAGGAUUUUGAAUAAUAUGCAAUUUUUCUUUAAUAAAAUUAAAGUGAUCCUCAACUAAAGGUUUAGUAAAGAUAUCAGCUAAUUGAUUUUUUGUAUCAACAAAAAUUAAUUCAAUUUCCUUUUUAUUAACAUGAUCCCUAAUGAAAUGAUGUUUUAUUUCAAUAUGUUUUGAUCUUGAAUGUUGAAUGGGAUUCUUUGAUAAAUUUAUUGCACUUGUAUUGUCACAAAAUACUGGAAUAUUUGUGUACCUUAUUGAGAAAUCCUCAAGUUGAUUUUUAAUCCAGAGAACUUGAGAACAACAGUUGGCUGCUGACACAUAUUCUGCUUCUGUAGUUGACAGAGCGAUAGUGUUCUGCUUUCUGCAUGACCAACUUAUGAGUGCAUUCCCAAGAAACUGACAUGCUCCACUUGUACUUUUUCUUUCUAUUUUGUCUCCAGCAUAGUCAGCAUCACAGUAUGCUAUAAGAUCAAAACAAGACCCUUUGUUAUACCAAAGGCCAAGAUCAGUAGUACCUACUAGAUAUCUGAAAAUUCUUUUUACAGCGGUUAAAUGAGAUUCCCUUGGAGAGGUUUGAAAACGUGCACAUAAACCAACAGCAAAAACAAUAUCUGGUCUGCUAGCAGUUAAGUACAACAGAGAUCCAAUCAUACCUCUGUAUUCUUUUUCAGAAAUGGUUUUUCCAUUUUCAUCCUUAUCUAAAUUAGAUGUUGGAUGCAUGGGAGUUGCCAUUAUUUUGGCUUCAUUCAUUUUAUAUUUUUUGAGAAGAUCUUUUAUAUAUUUUUCUUGACAAAUAAAAAUGCCAUUUGAUUCUUGCUUAAUUUGCAAGCCAAGAAAGAAUCUUAAUUCUCCCAUCAUACUCAUUUCGAAUUCACUUUGCAUGAGAUUUGAAAAAUCAUCACACAUUUUUUCAUUUGUUGAACCGAAUAUGAUGUCAUCAACAUAAAUUUGAACAAUUAAAAAAUUUGUUUUGUCAUCUUUUCUAAAAAGGGUUGUAUCAAUUUUUCCUCUAGAAAAAUCAUUUUUGAUUAAGAACGUGCUUAACCUUUCAUACCAAGCUCGAGGAGCUUGUUUAAGACCAUAUAGUGCUUUUGUGAGUUUAAACACAUGAUUAGGUUUGUUUGUGUUCUCAAAACCAGGAGGUUGAUGAACAUAAACUUCCUCAUUUAAAAAUCCAUUUAAAAAGGCACUUUUGACAUCCAUUUGAAAUAAUUUAAUAUUUUUAUGAGAUGCAUAUGCAAGAAGAAUUCUAAUUGCUUCUAACCUGGCUACCGGAGCAAAGGUUUCAUCGUAAUCAAUACCUUCUUGUUGAUUGUACCUGUUAUACCCUGAUUUUGGACCUAAAAAUACUCGUUCAAAUUUCUUUUUUUAACACUGAUGUUUGUCAAUUCUCUGUUAUUUUUCUCUGAAUCUUUACUCUCUUUUUAAAACAUAUUUUACUGCCUCUGUCUGUCUUUUCUUGCAUUACAAGUCAUUUAAGAACUCUCUGAAACGUCGCAUUACUUUUCUUGCAUUUUAUUUCAAAAAAUCAUACAGAAGGGUAUUUUGGUCAUUUCCUGCAGUGGAACCCAUUUUAGUCCCUGUGUUUGCCUCUGAGUCUUUUCAAUUUGUCUGUACAAAUCAUUAUCGAGUCUUUAUUAAGAAAAUAAUUUCAAAAAUUGCAUUUGAGUCAAUUCGAGUCAGUCUAGUCCCUAGGGGCGUUUUGGUCUUUUCCUAUUAAUAUUUCGACAGGGAGGUAUUUUAAAAUACCUCAUGUCAAUAUUUGGUUCGUUUUAGUCCUUUUGUUGAUUUUAAUUUUAGUUUCACUUUACGUUUGUCAAAAUUACUUUUUUUAGUUCAAUUUUAUUUAUAAAUCACAAUUUAGUCCAAAACUUUUUAAUUUUUAUUUUUUGUCCAUUUUUAAUUGCUGUCCAGUCCUUUUUUAUUAUUUUUUUUGCAGAAAAGGUCUCAGGGGCAUUUUUGUCCAGAAUUUUCGCACACUUCAGUCCCAGUCCAGAUGGCAUUUUCUCAUUGGCCCACAAAUACACAUGGCAGGCUAUAAAUAGAUGUGUCAGAUCCAAAUAAAAAAAAAAAAAAUCAGUCACAUCACAAAAACAGAAAUUUCUUUCUCUCUCCAAAAUCAGUUAGAUCCAAAACAGAAAAUCACCAAAAAAUUCUCCAAGAACACCAAGAACAAAUCUUCACAAAAUCAACAAAUCCGAACCGGAUUCACUCAAAACCAACUCAAAUCAUCACAAAAUCAACAAAUCCGAACCGGAAUCAUUCAAAACCACCGCGAAUCAUCACACCAACACCAAAUCCGUACCGGAUUUUCGAGCAAAAGCGGCACCACCGGAGCAAAUCCGCGCGCGCGAGGCGGAGAGAAGAGGAGGCUCGUUUUUUUUUUCUCCGUUUCACGACGACGGUAACACUUUUUUCCCUCGUUUUCGCGCAUAUACACAUGUGAAAAGUUUGUUACGAAUCAAGAUUUGUAGAUCUAAGCUUGUACGUUCGGAUUUUUGAAAUUUUGAGGCCGGAUUCGGACUCUAGAGCGAAAAGGAUAUCUAGAUCCGUAAGCUUUUUUACAAAAAGAGUGAAAAAAUUCCGAAAGUUCAAACGUAGAUCUACGACGAAUCUCUCACCCCUUUUUAAAACUAGCACCGGAUUUGUGUAGAGGAGGUGGUGACGGAACUUUUGAUGUAAAAAUUUUUUAAAAAAAAGAAGUUCGAAUUUUCCGGCGCGGUGGCGCCGCCGCCGGAAACCGGCCGGCCGCCGCGCCGGAAUCACCACCACCACCCACCUUCGCCGGCGGGAUUUUUAGAGAGAAGGGAGAGCUUCUCUCUCUAAGUAUGACUUAGAGAGAGAAGAAGAAGAGUUUUAUGAGUUUUUGUGUGAAAAUUCCUUUUUAUACUCCCUCCGAUCCCACGCGCGCGCGUGCGUGCUCUUGUUGUGUUCCCUCGCUCUGUGAACCAUCAGAUCUGGAUUGUUCCAAGAUCUGAUGGCUGCUGUGUAUUUGAUUUUGAAUCCUGUGCGUGACUUUUUGUGUGGAAUAUGGUAUAUCUUCUGUUUGAACCGUUAGAUCUUUGAUCUAACGGUCACUGUGCUUCCUGCAUUUUACACUAUCUUUGGUGCUUUUUUCUGGACCCUUUGAUCUAAUGGCUGUGAUGUAAUAUUGGGGGCUAGAUCUGGACCUCUGGAUUCAUCCAACGGUCCAGAUUAAAUCAUGCUGAGUUUUUUUUUAAUUGCUUUAAUUGUGUUUUAAAUACCUUUUUUACACUUUCUUGGUGUUUUAUGCUUCUAAAAAUAUUUCUAAAAAUAUUUCCCUAUCAUUUUAAUUUUUCCUCUAAGUUUUAGAAUUUAUUUGCUUAUUUUUGCAUUUAUUUUCUUUACUUUGUUCUUUUAAUUCUUGCUCAUUUAAUUCUUGCUCAUUAAAUUCCAUAUAUGUUCUUGAUGCAUUUUUUCAUAUUGUGAUAUUUUGGCAUGUGAAAUAAUGUGUGAAAAUAUCUCUAGGAACAUGAUAUAAUGCUUUGCUUGUGUAUGCUCUUAUGAUCCUCACAUUGUAGCUUAAAUUCAAACCUUUCAAAAAAUGGCUAUAAUGAGGAAAUUAUGGGUCAUAUGCAUGUAUGAGUGUUAUACCUAAAUUCUAGGUGUAUUUUUUUUACCACUUUAUUUCAUUUCAUUACUUUUUUUUUUUUUUUCUCUCUUGCUAUUCUAUUCAAUUUUGUUUACCUUUCUACUAUUUUUAUGCUUUAUGAUACUAACCAUCUCAUCUCACAUUUCAUUCAUCCUAUAGUUUUGGCAUCAUUUUUUCCAUUCAUUUCUAUAUCAAUUGGGUUUGUAAUAAUCUUAGAUAGAUUAGUUCCUUUUAAAAUUCUUCACAAAGACCAUAGCAUGUAUCUAGGACAAUGUAAAGGACUAUGGACAUUAUAAGGGAUGUACAUCGACACAAGCACCGACACGCACACACGUUGCAUGAUUAUCGAUUUAGGUGUAUGUUUAGGAAUUCGACGCCUAGUGAAAUUUCUUCUUUGAAAUAGGCUAAAUCUUUCAAACAAACUUUGGAGUCAAAACUCCAAUGCCUUUUUGUGAAAUAAAAAUAAAGAUCAAAUUCGACAUUUUUCUUCUAUGCCUUACGGCUUCUCUCCUCCUUCUCAAAAAAUCAUUUUCCAAAUAAAAAUGAGAUCUCAAUCAUCUUCUCUCCCCCAUUCUUCACUCAAAUAAAACUUCUUUUCUUUCAACAAGUAGGCAAUAAAAAUAAAGCGUAGAAAUAAGCUUAGGAGAACGGUUCUUAUGGAGUACCAUGAUCGCUCCGGGUGCCUAACACCUUCCCGUAGCAAAAACGACCCCCGAACUUAGAAUCUAAGGGUUUUUUCUCAAUUUUGCCCUUCCCGAGAAAAAAUAGAGAAUAUCAAAGAUUGAAAGGUUCAAGCCAAAUUAAUGACUUGACACCCGAAAAUCGCGAUAACAGUACCCUUGAGCUACCAAUCUAGCUUUGUUUCUGAUAACUUUUCCUUCUUCAUUUAGUUUAUUUCUAAAUACACAUCUUGUUCCAAUGAUGGAUUGAUUUUGAGGUUUAGGAACAAGAUUCCAUACUUCAUUCUUUUCAAAUUGAGAGAGUUCUUCUUCCAUGGCUUUUACCCAUGAUUCUUCACAUAUUGCUUCUUGUAUAUUUUUUGGUUCAAUGUGAGAGAUCAUUGCCAUGUUGACAUCAUUAUUCAUAAAUGAUCGUCUUGUUCUUAUUCCAUCAGAUGUGUCUCCAAUGAUUUGUUCAGGAGGAUGAUCACCGACAGUUUUCCAGCUUUUUGGAAGAACUUGAGAAGAAUGUUCUUGAGAAUCAUUACUUUCUUUUUGAGGAAUUUCUUCUUCAUCUUCUUUGUUGAUUAUCAAGUCAUCAAACUCAUCAAAAAUAACAUGCAUGCUUAUUUCCAUGGUUUGAUUUUUCAAAUUAUAAAUUCUAUAUCCUUUGGAGUUUGUUGCAUAUCCUAAGAAUAUUCCUUUAUCUGAUUUUGAAUCAAAUUUUCCUAGAUUUUCUUUAUCAUUUAAAAUAUAACAAUAACAUCCAAAAACAUGAAAAUAUGAGAUGUUAGGUUUUACAUUUUUCCAGAGUUCGUAUGGGGUUUUGUUUAAAACUUUUCUAAUUGAAACCCUGUUUAUGAUAUAGCAAGAAGUAUUUAUGGCUUCAGCCCAAAAGUAUUUUUCUACAUUUGAUUCAUUUAACAUUGUUCUUGCCAUUUCUUGGAGUGUUCUAUUUUUUCUUUCAACAACUCCAUUUUGUUGUGGAGUUCUUGCACAUGAAAAAUUAUGAGAGAUUCCUUUUUCAUCAAAGAAAUUUUUAAAGAAAGCAUUUUCAAAUUCUCCUCCAUGAUCACUUCUUACUGAAAUGAUUUUUUGAUUCUUUUUCAUUUUGAACUAAUGUGCAAAAAGUUUUGAAUGCUUCAAAAGCUUCAUCUUUAUGUUUUAAAAAUAGAACCCAUGUAUAUCUGGAAAAAUCAUCAACUAUAACAAAACCAUAUUGUUUUCCACUUAAACUGGCGGUUCUAACAGGACCAAAUAGAUCUAUGUGAAGUAGUUCAAGAGGUCUCUUAGUUGAAACAAAAUCAUUUGUUUUAAAACUGCUUUUAACUUGUUUACCUCUUGUACAAGCUUCGCAAAUUCUAUCUUUUUCAAAAUCAAUUUUUGGAAGUCCUCUUACGAGAUCCAGUUUGGAGAUUUUUGAAAUAGUUUUCAUACUUAUAUGUCCAGCUCUUUUGUGCCAAAUCCAUUUAUCUUUUUCAAGCAUCAUAAAACAUGUUUCUGCUGGAAUAUCAUCUAAGUAUAAAGCAUAUAGGUUUUUCUUUCUAGAAGCAGUAAAGAAAAUCUUACCUGAGGAUGUGUGUUUUACAAUACAUAUAUUAGGUUUGAAAACAACUUCGAAGCCACUAUCACAUAAUUGACUUAUGCUUAGUAGAUUGUGUUUUAAACCUUCAACAUAUUGAACAUCCUCAAUUUUUGCAGAGUCUUUUUUACCAAUGAUACCUUUACCUUUAAUUUGUCCUUUGUCAUUAUUGCCAAAGGUUACUAGACCUCCUUCCUUUUUUAUGAAGGAGAUGAAACAUUGUUUAUCCCCAGUCAUGUGUCUAGAACAACCACUGUCCAAGUACCAUGGCUUUGUUCUUGCAUCUUGUGAGAAUCCCUGCAUUUUGAGUUAGUGGUUCCUUAGGUACCCAUGAAGAUGUGGGUCCUUUGAGGUUAGUUUCUUUAAUCUCAAGUUGUUUAAUCUUGAGAAAACAGUUUAAUUCUCGAUAACCUACUCUCUUACAAUAUGAGCAUUCUUUUCUUUUUAAUGAUAAAGAAUGUUCUGGAGAAUGUUCUGAGAUAGAUUGUUCUUCUUUAAUUUCUAGUUUUCUCCUUUUAUGAAAACAGACAGAUUCAUGAUGUCCUCUUUUAUUACAGAAUGAACAUUUUAGUUUUUGUGGUAUAAGACACUUGUUAUCAUGGUUUUUGGGUGCCAAGCCAUUAAUUUGGACUUGAACCUUUUGACCGUUGAUAUCUCUCUUUUUUCUUGGGAAGGGUAAAAGGAGAAAAACCCUUGAGUUUCCGGAUUCGGGGGUCGAUUUCGCUACGGGAAGGUGUUAGGCACCCGGAGCGAUUAUGGUAUUCCAUAAGAACCGUUCUCCUAAGUUUAUUUCUACGCUUUAAUUUUAUUGCUUAUUUGUAAAAAAAGAAGGUGUGAUUAGUUAAGAAUGGGGGUGAGAAGAAGUAGAAUUUGAUUUUUUUGUUUCGGCUUGGAUGAGUUUUGACUCAUUGCCUACGUACCCUUUUAAGGGAUCAAAACCGUUCGUAGUUCAUUCUCAAAAAUAGUUUUUGUGUUUGUUGGUUGAUUUUAGGUUUGAAAAGAGAUUUUGAAGAAUAGAGAUGAGAGGCCUCAAGGGCAUAAGGUUUGGAAAGUGUGAGGUGGAUUUAGUCAUUUUGCAAAAAUAAAGUCUAAGAAGGGUUAAGAUUCAUUGAAAGUUUUACUUAAGAAAAUAAAAAGGGAAAUAAGGAGUUUUGACUCCAUUUUAUUUUCAAAAAAAAGAUUUUCAAGUGAAGUUAUUUGCAUGUUCUUUUUGGAAAAAAGUUGGAUUUUUAUCUAAGUGUUCAAACCUAAACGCUUAUCUAACCAUACAAUCCUAUGCAUACAUCUAAGGUGAGUGUGUGCGUGUCGGUGCGUCAUAGUGUCCAUAGUCCAUAUUACAAAAAUUGCCUAAAUACAUUCUAUGGCCCCUUUGCCAAGCUACAAACCAAUGAUAACAAAUUACAUUACCAAAUGAAUUAAAACUUGCAAAAAAAAUAAAUGCUAAGCUAAAGAAAGUGGAGAGAGUGGUGGAAUGCUAUGAAAUGUAUGGCACAUGAGAUGAAAUGGUUAGUAAUCAUAAAGCACACAAUAGUAGGAAGUAAUUAAAAGGAAAUGCAUAAAGAUGGCAAAGAAAAAGUAAUAAAGUGGUAAUAAACCUAAAAGACAUUUGAUAUGAUACCUAAAGAUGCUAGUGGCCCAUAAUCAUCACAUCAUGGCAAUUUAGAAAGAAAUUUUGUUUCAAGCCAUGACAUGCAAUUAAUGGAGGCAUAUGCAUGCAAAAUAUCACACCAAGUUCAUAGAGAAAUUUGCCACUUUAUUCCUUAAAACUAAACUUGUUGCUUGCAAAACAAGAAAUUCAUAAAAUCAUAUUCAAAAACAGCAAACAAAAACACAUUUCCAGAGGCAUAUUCAUCACCAUAUUAGGCAUCCUUUAUCCAUGUCAUAAUAUCAAAAUGUCAAGAACAAAACAUAGCAAAAUGCAUACCAAAAGUGUAAAAACACAUGGAAUUAGUUCAUGCCACUUUAACAUCUUUUUUUAUGCAAGAAACACCAUAGAAAUGCCAAAAAUAUACCAAGAAAUAACCAGGAUUUUUAGGAUUUUUUUAUAAAAAAAGUGAGCAAGAAACAGGUGCAAGUAGCAAAGAAAUACGGUGCAAAUAGCAAAAAAACAAAAAAAACGUGAAAGAAAACUAAGCCCAAACCCAAAGCCCACACUCAAGACUCAGACUGCACAGGAGCCACACGAUUGAUCUAGGAUUCUGAAACCCUAGAUCAAACGGCCAGGAACAAGGGGGACUGGACCGGAAAUAAACCGGUCCGGUUCACUGGCUAUAUAAACACAAAGGCUCCGGUUUUUUUCAUUUUCUCCUCUCCUUCUCUCUCUUCUCUCAUCCUAGUGAGAGAAGCUCCCACUUCUCUCUAGAAAUCCGGUUGUCUUCUCCGGCAUGGCUUAGCUCCUCCGGCGCGGUGGCCGGCCACCUCCAGGUGGCGGCGCCGCCGCCGGAAAAACUUCCUUGCUCCGAUUCAAAAAAUUUUUACGUUUUUAAACAUCCUUUUUCGUGCUAUUCAUGAAUCCGAGCUUGGUUUUUUGAAAAAGAUUUUCAACCGGAGUAGAUCUAAGUUUGAAGUUGCGGUUUUGAAUGAAGUUUUUCUUUGUUCUUUGUGCUUUUUGGCUACGUGCUUCUAGAAUCCUACAUGUUUAUACUUGAUUCUCCUUUUUAUCCAUUUUUUGCGAAAAAAAGGAAGUUUGAGUUUUACCUGUGGUUUUCUUGGUGGUUCCGAUCCGGAUCUUCAAGGAAAGCUUGAUUUUAGUCUUGUUCCGUUGAUUCUGGUUUGGUUCCCUGCUGUUCUGAUCCGCUCUUCUUCUUCACAGGUUCGGUAUAUGGAUUUUCGUCCCUCUUCUUCGUCUCCGGGAAAGCCUCUGCGAUCGUGCUUGAGUUCGCCGCUUUCAGUGGUGGACUCGCACUCGAAUUGCAGAGCAACGAUUCAAUGAUGAUGAUUCCUUGGCGAAUCUCUGAGAAUCGUGGAAAAUUCAAUGAAUUUCUUGAUGAUUUUGUGAUUCUGGUGAUUUAGGUUUUUUUGAUUUUUCUCUGUGUUCUUGAUGAUUUCUCUGUGAUUCUGGUUUUGAUCUAACUGACAAGAGAGAGAAAAAUUGAUUCUGUUUUUCUUCUUUGGUGAAGUGGCGUGUGAUUAAUGGCUUUGAAUCUGACUCACUGUUUAUAUAGUUGACAUGUGUACACUUGAGCCAAUGGAACUGUGACAUCUGGAUUUGUAUGGGAGGGGCACGGCCUUGGACUUAAAAUGGACUUUGGACCUUUUUGCAAAAAUAAGAAUUUUAAGGACUAAACUGCAAAAUUAAAAAAACUUGAAAUGAAAUAAACAAAAAAACAGUUUGGACAAAAAUGCAAUUUUGGGACCUCAAUUGAGGGACCAAAAUGCAAUUAAAAAUAAAAUUUGAAUAAAAAACAUAAUUUGACCAAACGUAAAGUGAAACAAAAAAUAAAAUUGACAAAACGGACUAAAACGAACCAAUGGCCUAAAUGAGGUACUUCAAAGUAACCUCCCCAUGCCAAAAUUUUAUGUGAAAUGACCAAAAUGCCCCUAGGGCUAAAAACGACCUAAACAGAUUGAAAUUGACUCAACACUGACUCAGACGCAAGUUUGAAAUGAAUUUUAACAAGGUUUACUGAUGAAAUGUAAAAAACAAUUCGAAAAGACUCAGAGACAGUCACAAGGAUGAAAAUGGGUCCCACUGCAGGAGAUGUCCAAAAUACCCUUCUGUAUGACUUUUUGCAAAUUUUGAAAUAAACUGUAGAAAAAGCAAUGCAAUGAUUCAGAGACACUUUUGAAUGACUUACAAGACAAGUAAAGACAUUUUGAAAGGUUUUAUGCAAGAAAAACAUAGGUAAAAUUGUGAUUGAAAAUACUGCGAGACAGAGACAAAUUGAACUGUGCAGUUGAAAUUUGAUAAUUGACAAAGUUUGAAAUGAAAUUGGGCCCAAUAUUUUUAGGUCCAAAAACAGGGUAUAACAACACUUUUCAUAAAUUUGAUUAAAACCUAAACCAGAUUUGUCAAAUUCUGCCAUUUGUGAACCUACAAUUUUUUGAAAUGUUUCUGUUGAUUUUAUAAAUUGUGAAAGAUCAUUUCUAAGUUCUUUGACUUCCUUUUUAAGAAUAAUAUUUUCAUUUUUAGAAUUUUCAGGAAGUUUUGUUUUUCCAAGAACUUUUAAUUUUUCAUUUACUUGAAAGUAAGAGUCUUGUAGACUUUGAAUGAUUUUCUUUUGAUCAUUAUUCAAAGUUCGAAGUUUCUCUUUUUCUUCUUUUAACUCAGAAAUUUCUUUUUGUAAAGAGUGACAUUUGUUUGUUAAAAAGUUUGAAUCAAAUAAAAGACUAUCAAAUUUAUUUUCUAACUCUUUAUAUACUAGAGGUUGGUUAAUAAGAAUUACCUCUUCGCUUUCUGAAUCUUCCAUUAGAACCAUGUUGGCUUCAGUGUCUUCAUCUUUUGAUUCUUCAAGAUCAUCCCAGGUAAACAUUGAUUUUGAGUAGGGAGAUUUCUUCUGACUCUUUUUGUUCAAUGGACAUUCGUUUUUGUAAUGUCCUAAUUUGUUGCAUCCAAAGCAAGUUACUUGACUUUUGUCAAUUUCUCCUUUUGAGUUAUCUUUCUUGUUGGGAAAGUAUUUCUUUAUUUGAUCUCUUCUUCUCAUCAUUCUUUGAAUCUUCUUUGUGAUGAGAGCUAGUUCGUCUUCUGCUUCCCCUUGGAUGUUUUCUUCUUCAUUGGCUUCUUCAGUUUCUUCGUUUUGUGGGAAGGCAUCUUUUUGUUCACUUUGAGAUGCUUUGAGAGCAACCAUCUUUCAUUUCCUUGAUGGUUUAUCAUCUUGAAGUAACGUCUCAUGAGCUUUUAAUGAUCCAAUGAGAUCUUCAAGAGCUAAGGAGUUUAAGUCUUUAGCUUGUGUGAUUGCAGUUACCAUGGGUCUCCAUGUGCUUGGAAGACAUCUUAAAAUUUUUCUUAUCCGAUCAUGAGUGGUAUAAGUUUUUCCCAGUGAUCUUAAUUCAUUCACAAUAGAUGUGAAUCUGGAGUACAUUUCAUCAAUGUUCUCAUCUUCGUUCAUUUCGAAGAUUUCAAAUUUUCUUACGCCAAUAUCUAUUCUUGUUUCUUUUACGUGGCUAGUUCCCUCAUGAUGAAUUUUUAGAGUGUCCCAAACUUCUUUUGCAGUGACACAUUCAUCAACUCUUUCACUUUCUUCCAUGCUUAGUGCGCAUGAUAGAAAGAGUCGAGCUUUGGAGUUUAGAAGUACUUUUUCUUUAUCUUCCUUUGACCAUGAUGCUUCUGGUGUGAGUGUAUCCACCUUUGUUGUUGCAUCAGUUGUCAUAGGUAUAUGUUCUCCAUUUGUGAUUAUUUUCCACAUAUCCACGUCUUGGGAUCUGAGGAAUAGUUUCAUUUUUCCUUUCCAGAAAUAAUAGUUCUUUCCAUUGAAGAAUGGUGGUCUUGUGCAUGAUAGACCUUCUGGUAUGUACUUUUCUUUUGACAUUGCCUUCUUCCUGAAUCUUUUCCUCCAACACUUGUUAGGUGUUUUUGUAGAGCCCGGGCUCUGAUACCAAUUAAAGUAGCAAUAAACGUCACAAGAAAGGGGGGUUUGAAUUGUGACCCUUUUAAAAAUUAUUCCUGAAACUUAAGUUUAGAUUUAUAUACUCAAGAAUAAUCUUGGUGUAUGUUAGCUUAACAAGAUUAGAGUAUAUAACAAUUAAUUGAAUUUAGAACAGAACAUUCUGAAGACUGAUUAUAAACAGAAUGAGAAAAAUGAUGUUAAGUUAAAAGAUUAUUUUAGCAAGGACCAGAAUGUUCUGGAGAUUAAUAAAAUAAUGUGUGUGUGUGUUGUGUAACUUUAAAUAAAGAGAGAGAUAGAGAUAGAGAGAGAGAGAGAGAGAGAAGAAUAACACAGGAGAGUUAUCCUGGUUCACCAAACCCGGCUACUUCCAGUCCCCACACCUCGUGUGAGAUUAUCCACUAUAGUUUUCUUGCUAACAGAAACUUCUGACUAGCACUACAAUAUCUUGAUCACACCAGAUCAGUCCGUAACCUCUGUAUUAUCAACCUCAGCAGGCUUAUACAAUUCUUUGCACACUAGCAAAAGAAAGGUUGGAAUUUUCUAUCUCAAAACUAUUAAGCCCAAUAGACUUUGAGAAAUACAACACUCUUUGUAUGAAGAGAUUUGUUUUGGAUCGAAUAAAUACUCAAAUCUUUGUUUGAGUUUUACAAGAGGCAAAUUCAAGAGAGAUGAUCCAAGAGAUAUAGUGAGAGAGCUUGGAAUUUGCUUUGUUUGUGAAGAGCUUUGUUUGUAGUGAUGAUUUUCACUUUGAGAGAUAUUAGCUUGCAAAACUCUUGCUUAUGACCUUCAAAGGCCCUUGUAUUUAUAGGUGAGGAGUGUCUUGGUACCAAGGGAGAAAAUAGAGCUGUUGGACACGUUUUUGAUAGCUGUCCAAAGUCUCAAUUGAUUUCUCUUUUCUUCUUUAAAAUAGCCAGAACGUUCUCAGAAUGUUCUUUCUGAUUUGCCUGACUUAGAAAGCACUGUUGCUUUGCUUGCGCAUGAGAUAACCAGCUGUGAUGAGCUGUAUAACUUGCAGCCCACUUCUGAUGAUGUCAUGUCCUUUUGCUCUAGUGAUGUCAUGCUUAAGUAAGCCAUGUGAUCUUAUCCAUUUAAUGGGCUUUACUUUUUCAAAUGGGCUUAAAGCUUUUCUUAUGGCCCAAUAGACAUAAUCAGCCAAGCUUUCUUGCUGUGCAGACUUGUUCGCUUUUGAUGUACUGUUCCAUUUUCAUCGUUUUCGCCAGAACGUUCUCAAUUCAUUCUCAUGAAACAAAUUCUCACAAAAACGAAUUAGUAGAUAACAAGAUUAAAUAAAUAUAAUAUGUUUGUAAUCUUUAAAACAUCAAAUAAGGAUUUUGUCUCAACAACUUUGUCCUCCGCACGAUUUAUUAGGAGCUUUGUCCUCCGCACGUUUAAAGUAUAUUAAUACUUAUGAUGACGAUUGGUACCACAUGCAUAUAAGGAGUCUAAGAGCAUUGUCGCAUUGUCGUGUCUAAGAUGCUAUGUUGUUGAUGAUGAUUGAAUAUGUGAUUACGUGAUAAUUGUUUAUCAAAUAUGCAAAGUUGUUUAAGAUUGAAUAUGAUGUUAAUGUUAAUUUAUGAUUCGAAUUACAUUGAUUAAUAUUAUUUUGUUAUGAAAUCUCACCCCUUCUGCUUGAAAAUGUUGCCCUUCGUAUGGGUAACUUGCAGGUGAUCGUGCUUAGUGUGCAGUUUGCCGUUGUGAGUGGCCUUGCCUCGCUGUGUCGUCUAGGUCGCUCUGAUACGUAACGGGAUGGGGUUUUAUGUUAUGCAUGCUUCAUUCUCUUACGUAACUAAUAUGUUAUUUUUAUAAUAUUAUCAAUUAUGAUUUGAAAUAUUUUGAUGGGGCCUGCGUGCCGAAACGUUUUAUGGAUUAUGAUAUAAUUUCCGCUGCAAUGUUUAAGUUAUUUGGUUAAAUUAUUAUUUAACUGUUUUGGAUUAUGUUAUAUGUGAUAUCCCGUUGUUUACGAUGCUUACUCUGAUAAAUGUUUUAAGAAAUUUUUAUAUUGGGAAAACGGAGUGUUACAGAAACUCCCCCUAUAAAUACCGCAUUCCUCAUUCACAAUUUCUCAUUCAUAACGAAGUGGUUCAAGAGGAAUGCAGUCACUAUGCAUCUAGGGAGGAUUCUCUCUCUUCACUCCAAAUUUUUCUAGAGUAUUUUUAUUUCUUUUAUAAUUUCUCUUUAGUUACCAUGGGUAACUAAAUCUUUUUAGGCUUGGGUUCUAAGAUUAACCUCUAUUCUGGUUGUUGGAUAAUUUAUGUAAAGUCUUUAUUUUAGUUAUUUAUCUUUAUGCUACUAGUUUUACUGUUGUUGCGUAAGAUUUGUCUACUAAAGCAUAAUCUACUUAGAAUAAUUGAACGUGAGUUAACUGUUAAUUAAUUCCAACAAAAUGAAUAGAGAUGAUUCAAAUUAUGUUCAAUAUUUAAGCUAACUGUGUCCUCUAUUUAAAUUAAUUGUUAUAUAUUAUAAACCUGAUAUAGCAUAGCCUAUAUAGGGCUCACAUGAAGCGAUCACAAUCGAUAAAACUAUAUUCUAUAGCUAACGGUUGAUCCUACAAUACGCUCAAUCAAUGCAAAAAUAUGUUGUCACCUAUUGGGUUCAUAUUUCUAUAAAUAACUUUGCCACGGCCAAACAGUAUUAUUUCUCUUUUGUGUUUUUUUCUUUUUAUAUCAUGAAAGGUCAAAAUAAUGGAUAUUUGUUAAAAUAAAAUAGCAUGAAUCCUUAUCAUUGAUGAGUUUUUUAUAUGACCUCCUUACUAAGCAUGAUAAAGAAACAAAUUGAACACAUUGAUGCAUUUAAGAGAUAUUUAAUAAUUAUUCUAAUUUUAAAAAGUAUCUAUAAUAUACAUAAAGAAAACUACCUCCUUUCAACACUUUUGGGUUGAAUUUUUCUUUCUAAAAAUGUCAUCAAUUUUCAAUACAAAUAAUACAUAUAAUAAAUAGACAAGAAUAAAUUUAAAUAUUAAAAAAACGUAACAAAUACGAUAUGAAUAUAUAUAUAUAUAUAUAUAUAUAUAUAUAUGUGUGUGUGUGUUUUUUUUUUCUUUAUCAUUUAAAAAGUGUAACAAACUAAAUGAGUAUAUUUAUAUUUAAUUUUUUCCAAUUACAUCUUUAAACAACUUUUUCUAUAAUAAAGAUUGUUGUUGGUGUUAUUGAAAUAAAUAAUCAUGUUUAAUUUGGUUUGUUAUACCUAGAAAGCAACAAAAAUUUAUAUUUUUAGUUUUAAUCAAAAUCAAAAUUUCAUAAAAAAAAAAAUAUAAUUCAUAAUUUUCAAAUUUUAACGCGGUAAAAAGAGUGAAAAUACGGGCACGUAAGUGCCCAUCUUUACGCUAAUUUUUAUAAUUGCAUAAGUGACUUUUUAGCUGAUGAAACGAUAUCAUAAUCUUUAUAAAUUGUAAAACCACAUUCUAUUUGUUAUAUGCAAAAGGCGAGAAAUAUGGCUAAACUUGUCAAGCUUGUUUAUGUUAUAAUUGUGUUUUAUACCCUAUUUCUUGUUGCAACGGAAAUUGUUUGUGAGCUAAUUUUUCAUACUCUUGAAAUUUCCUUUUAUUUCUUUUUAUCUCGUUUUAGUAACAUUAUUUUGUUCUUUUUCCUUCAAUACAGCGGGUAUUCCUUGUAACGAUGAUGUUGAUUGUCCACAGACUCUGUGUGAACAGUUAAUUGCCGACUUCAAGUAUAUGAUAGAUUUUAAGUCGGAGUGUGUUUCCCGUAUGUGUGCAUGUACCGGAAGUCCCGUUUAAGCUGCACUGGUGGUUGGUUUUGGUUCAAAAUGGAACAAUGAAAAAUACCUUUAAUAUUGGGUUGCUUAUAUAUUUUCACCAUAGAUGUGGAAAUCAUAAUAGGCUAUUAAUAAAAUUAUAAAUUAUACAUGUGGCCUUUAAAUAUCUUUUCUACGUACCCUUGUUAUUAAUUAAUUACUAAAAUCAAAAGAAAUUUCCUUCUCAAUUACAUGUCGUUGAGUUUUCCACCUAGAUAUGUGUUGUAUUUUUUUAUCUUAUUAAAAUAACAUAAAAUCUUAUUUACUCUCAAUCAAAAUCAAUCUAGAAUAUAAGGGUGUCUCUAUGUACUUCUCUAGGUGUGUGUUUAAUUGUUUUUUUUGUUGCAUAUAUGCAAAUAUCAAGUCAUAAAAACAUGUUUUACCUUAAUAAACACAACCAGGUGUUACUAAAAAAAUAUAAUCAUAAAAACCUAUAAUGAAAUAUAGAUAUACAAAUCAAGGAUAGAGGGAAAAGAAAUAUCUUCAAAUAAUAGAUGGAAAAUAGUGUUUUAUUUCUUUCUUCAUUACGAGAACUACGAUCUUUGGCUCUGGAACUGAAUCAUUUCCUUGUAUCUGAGAAAGACUUCCAGAUUCAAAGGAAGGAAGUUUAAUUGGACUGAAUCAGAAAUUUUAUUCUAUGAUUGAUCAGUAUAAACAUCAACACCUUCGAAUUGGAUCAGUUUCUCCUGAACAAAUAAGUGCUUGGGCAAAAAAAAUCCUACCUAAUGGAGAAAUUGUUGGAGAGGUAACAAAACCCUAUACUCUUCAUUACAAAACCAAUAAGCCUGAAAAAGAUGGAUUAUUUUGUGAACGAAUUUUUGGGCCUAUAAAAAGUGGGAUUUGUGCUUGUGGAAAUUAUCGAGUAAUCGGAGAUAAAAAAGACCAACCCAAAUUUUGUGAACAAUGCGGAGUAGAAUUUGUUGAUUCUCGGGUACGUAGGUAUCAAAUGGGGUAUAUAAAACUAGCAUGUCCAGUAACCCAUGUAUGGUAUUUGAAACGUCUUCCUAGUUAUAUUGCGAGCCUUUUAGAUAAACCUCUUAAAGAAUUAGAAGGUCUAGUAUACUGCGAUGUGUGAUUUGAUAAAAAUUCUUAUUGUACAGAUUUCAAAUGAGAAACUGUCAUUCCAUUCAAUUAAAUUGGAAUGUCCUCUAUCUGGCAUGUCUCUUGGGAUGAGUAACAUGAAGCUCAGAAUUCAUGGGUGUAUUGAAUACUCCCAAAUCAAUAAGGGAAUUGGUCUAUGGUCAAUUCAGUAACAAAUAAAUAUUUAUUUAUAACCGUACGUACCUUGUGAAAAAAAAAAAAUUAUUUUUUUGUGGAAUUAAUUAUUUCAUCUCUUUUUUUUUUAAGAACUUAAAUUAAGUUCAAAGAAUAAAAUAUAAUAUAUCAUGAUUGCCGAAGUCUAUCUAUCGCAUAUAGGCUUAAAGACAUCGUGGCAUAACCGUCGAGGUGACGUCUUGACCUAAAAGAUCAAAUGGUAUGAUACAUAGACAAAGAAAUCUCUUAUGAAUUCGAGGAUAUUCCUUUUUUUUAUUAAAAAGUAUAUUUUAAAGGAUUCUUCGUUCGAAGGGAGGUAGACUACUCAAGAAUUUUACAUUGAAUUUCUGUCGUAAUUUCGAAUUGCAUAAAGAAUUCAGAAACAAAGAAGAAUGUAUCAAUGAAAUGUUGCUUCGUCUGUAUUGAUAACUUGAGUAAAGAGUAAACCUUUUUUAUUUUAGAUUUAGAGGUUUUCAAAAAUUUGAAAACGGAAACCACUUUCUUUAUCUUUAUUGUGUGUAAAUACUUUAGCCGGAUGAGAGGAAACCCUCACGUCCGAUUUUCAAAGGGGGAGAUCCAUCUUAUUGGAUCCUAUCCAAAUUUUUCGUUUGCUAGGCCCGUAGUUAAAAAACCUACUUUCUUACGAUUACGAGGUUCAUUCGAAUACGAAAUCCAAUCUUGGAAAUACAGUAUCCCACUCUUUUUUGCUACUCAAGGUUUCGAUACAUUUCGAAAUAGAGAAAUUUCUAGUGGAGCAGGUGCUAUACGAGAACAAUUAGUUGAUUUGGAUUUAAGAAUUAUUAUGGAUUCUUCGUUGGUAGAAUGGAAAGAAUUAGGAGAAGAGGGAUCCGCCGACAAUGAAAAUGAAAAUGAAUGGGAAGAUCGAAAAGUAGGAAGAAGAAAGAAUUUUUUGGUUCGACGCAUGGAAUUAGUUAAGCACUUUAUCCGAACAAAUAUAGAACCAGAAUGGAUGGUUUUAUCUCUCUUACCAGUUCUUCCUCCCGAAUUGAGACCAAUUAUUCAAAUAGAUGGAGGGAAACUAAUGAGUUCGGAUAUUAAUGAACUCUAUAGAAGAGUUAUCUAUCGGAACAAUACUCUUAUUGACCUAUUAACAACAAGUAGAUCUACACCAGGGGAAUUAGUAAUGUGUCAAGAAAAAUUGGUACAAGAAGCCGUGGAUACACUCCUUGAUAAUGGAAUCCGCGGACAACCAAUGAGGGACGGUCAUAAUAAAGUUUACAAAUCGUUUUCAGAUAUAAUUGAGGGCAAAGAGGGAAGAUUUCGAGAGACUCUGCUUGGAAAACGAGUUGAUUAUUCGGGGCGUUCUGUUAUUGUCGUAGGUCCAUCACUUUCAUUACAUCGAUGUGGAUUGCCCCGCGAAAUAGCAAUAGAGCUAUUUCAGACAUUUCUAAUUCGUGGUUUAAUUCGAAAACAUUUUGCUUCGAACAUAGGAGUUGCUAAGAGUAAAAUACGGGAAAAAGAACCGAUUGUAUGGGAAAUACUUCAAGAAGUUAUGCGGGGGCAUCCAGUAUUGCUGAAUAGAGCGCCUACUUUGCAUAGAUUGGGCAUACAGGCAUUUCAACCUAUUUUAGUAGAAGGACGUGCUAUUUGUUUACAUCCAUUAGUGUGUAAGGGAUUCAAUGCAGACUUUGAUGGGGAUCAAAUGGCUGUUCAUGUGCCUUUAUCUUUGGAGGCUCAAGCAGAAGCUCGUUUACUUAUGUUUUCUCAUACAAACCUCUUGUCUCCGGCUAUUGGGGAUCCCAUUUCCGUACCAACUCAAGAUAUGCUUAUAGGACUUUACGUAUUAACUAGCGGAAAUCGUCGAGGUAUUUGUGCAAACAGGUAUAAUCCGUUUAAUUGCCGAAAUUCUAAAAAUGAAAAAAUUAGCAAUAAUAACUCUAAGUAUAUGAAAAAAAAAGAACCCUUUUUUUGCAAUUCCUAUGAUGCAAUUGGAGCUUAUCGACAGAAAAGAAUAAAUUUAGAUAGUCCUUUUUGGCUCCGGUGGCGAAUAGAUCAAUGCAUUAUGUCUUCAAGAGAAGUUCCUAUCGAAGUUCACUAUGAAUCUUUUGGUACCUAUUAUGAAAUUUAUGGGCAUUAUUUAGUAAUAAGAAGUAUAAAAAAAGAAAUUCGUUGUAUAUACAUUAGAACCACUGUUGGUCAUAUUUCUUUUUAUCGAGAAAUUGAAGAAGCUAUACAAGGUUUUUCUCGAGCCUAUUCAUAUGGUAUCUAAUCAUAUAGAUGGUUAGUGUUGAUAUCCAAGCUAGGUAAAUUUAUGUUAUGAUACUGGCGUAAAUUCAGGUCAACUAGCAUCUUUUCUAUUUUCUACGUGAAUAAACAUAAAGAAAAGGAAGUUUUCCAAUCAUUCACUCAAAUUCAUUGUCGAACCGAAUCCCACUGAGUGGAAUAUGGAGGUACUUAUGGCAGAACGGGCCAAUCUAGUCUUUCACUUUCUUCCAUGCUUAGUGCGCAUGAUAGAAAGAGUCGAGCUUUGGAGUUUAGAAGUACUUUUUCUUUAUCUUCCUUUGACCAUGAUGCUUCUGGUGUGAGUGUAUCCACCUUUGUUGUUGCAUCAGUUGUCAUAGGUAUAUGUUCUCCAUUUGUGAUUAUUUUCCACAUAUCCACGUCUUGGGAUCUGAGGAAUAGUUUCAUUUUUCCUUUCCAGAAAUAAUAGUUCUUUCCAUUGAAGAAUGGUGGUCUUGUGCAUGAUAGACCUUCUGGUAUGUACUUUUCUUUUGACAUUGCCUUCUUCCUGAAUCUUUUCCUCCAACACUUGUUAGGUGUUUUUGUAGAGCCCGGGCUCUGAUACCAAUUAAAGUAGCAAUAAACGUCACAAGAAAGGGGGGGUUUGAAUUGUGACCCUUUUAAAAAUUAUUCCUGAAACUUAAGUUUAGAUUUAUAUACUCAAGAAUAAUCUUGGUGUAUGUUAGCUUAACAAGAUUAGAGUAUAUAACAAUUAAUUGAAUUUAGAACAGAACAUUCUGAAGACUGAUUAUAAACAGAAUGAGAAAAAUGAUGUUAAGUUAAAAGAUUAUUUUAGCAAGGACCAGAAUGUUCUGGAGAUUAAUAAAAUAAUGUGUGUGUGUGUUGUGUAACUUUAAAUAAAGAGAGAGAUAGAGAUAGAGAGAGAGAGAGAGAAGAAUAACACAGGAGAGUUAUCCUGGUUCACCAAACCCGGCUACUUCCAGUCCCCACACCUCGUGUGAGAUUAUCCACUAUAGUUUUCUUGCUAACAGAAACUUCUGACUAGCACUACAAUAUCUUGAUCACACCAGAUCAGUCCGUAACCUCUGUAUUAUCAACCUCAGCAGGCUUAUACAAUUCUUUGCACACUAGCAAAAGAAAGGUUGGAAUUUUCUAUCUCAAAACUAUUAAGCCCAAUAGACUUUGAGAAAUACAACACUCUUUGUAUGAAGAGAUUUGUUUUGGAUCGAAUAAAUACUCAAAUCUUUGUUUGAGUUUUACAAGAGGCAAAUUCAAGAGAGAUGAUCCAAGAGAUAUAGUGAGAGAGCUUGGAAUUUGCUUUGUUUGUGAAGAGCUUUGUUUGUAGUGAUGAUUUUCACUUUGAGAGAUAUUAGCUUGCAAAACUCUUGCUUAUGACCUUCAAAGGCCCUUGUAUUUAUAGGUGAGGAGUGUCUUGGUACCAAGGGAGAAAAUAGAGCUGUUGGACACGUUUUUGAUAGCUGUCCAAAGUCUCAAUUGAUUUCUCUUUUCUUCUUUAAAAUAGCCAGAACGUUCUCAGAAUGUUCUUUCUGAUUUGCCUGACUUAGAAAGCACUGUUGCUUUGCUUGCGCAUGAGAUAACCAGCUGUGAUGAGCUGUAUAACUUGCAGCCCACUUCUGAUGAUGUCAUGUCCUUUUGCUCUAGUGAUGUCAUGCUUAAGUAAGCCAUGUGAUCUUAUCCAUUUAAUGGGCUUUACUUUUUCAAAUGGGCUUAAAGCUUUUCUUAUGGCCCAAUAGACAUAAUCAGCCAAGCUUUCUUGCUGUGCAGACUUGUUCGCUUUUGAUGUACUGUUCCAUUUUCAUCGUUUUCGCCAGAACGUUCUCAAUUCAUUCUCAUGAAACAAAUUCUCACAAAAACGAAUUAGUAGAUAACAAGAUUAAAUAAAUAUAAUAUGUUUGUAAUCUUUAAAACAUCAAAUAAGGAUUUUGUCUCAACAACUUUGUCCUCCGCACGAUUUAUUAGGAGCUUUGUCCUCCGCACGUUUAAAGUAUAUUAAUACUUAUGAUGACGAUUGGUACCACAUGCAUAUAAGGAGUCUAAGAGCAUUGUCGCAUUGUCGUGUCUAAGAUGCUAUGUUGUUGAUGAUGAUUGAAUAUGUGAUUACGUGAUAAUUGUUUAUCAAAUAUGCAAAGUUGUUUAAGAUUGAAUAUGAUGUUAAUGUUAAUUUAUGAUUCGAAUUACAUUGAUUAAUAUUAUUUUGUUAUGAAAUCUCACCCCUUCUGCUUGAAAAUGUUGCCCUUCGUAUGGGUAACUUGCAGGUGAUCGUGCUUAGUGUGCAGUUUGCCGUUGUGAGUGGCCUUGCCUCGCUGUGUCGUCUAGGUCGCUCUGAUACGUAACGGGAUGGGGUUUUAUGUUAUGCAUGCUUCAUUCUCUUACGUAACUAAUAUGUUAUUUUUAUAAUAUUAUCAAUUAUGAUUUGAAAUAUUUUGAUGGGGCCUGCGUGCCGAAACGUUUUAUGGAUUAUGAUAUAAUUUCCGCUGCAAUGUUUAAGUUAUUUGGUUAAAUUAUUAUUUAACUGUUUUGGAUUAUGUUAUAUGUGAUAUCCCGUUGUUUACGAUGCUUACUCUGAUAAAUGUUUUAAGAAAUUUUUAUAUUGGGAAAACGGAGUGUUACAGAAACUCCCCCUAUAAAUACCGCAUUCCUCAUUCACAAUUUCUCAUUCAUAACGAAGUGGUUCAAGAGGAAUGCAGUCACUAUGCAUCUAGGGAGGAUUCUCUCUCUUCACUCCAAAUUUUUCUAGAGUAUUUUUAUUUCUUUUAUAAUUUCUCUUUAGUUACCAUGGGUAACUAAAUCUUUUUAGGCUUGGGUUCUAAGAUUAACCUCUAUUCUGGUUGUUGGAUAAUUUAUGUAAAGUCUUUAUUUUAGUUAUUUAUCUUUAUGCUACUAGUUUUACUGUUGUUGCGUAAGAUUUGUCUACUAAAGCAUAAUCUACUUAGAAUAAUUGAACGUGAGUUAACUGUUAAUUAAUUCCAACAAAAUGAAUAGAGAUGAUUCAAAUUAUGUUCAAUAUUUAAGCUAACUGUGUCCUCUAUUUAAAUUAAUUGUUAUAUAUUAUAAACCUGAUAUAGCAUAGCCUAUAUAGGGCUCACAUGAAGCGAUCACAAUCGAUAAAACUAUAUUCUAUAGCUAACGGUUGAUCCUACAAUACGCUCAAUCAAUGCAAAAAUAUGUUGUCACCUAUUGGGUUCAUAUUUCUAUAAAUAACUUUGCCACGGCCAAACAGUAUUAUUUCUCUUUUGUGUUUUUUUCUUUUUAUAUCAUGAAAGGUCAAAAUAAUGGAUAUUUGUUAAAAUAAAAUAGCAUGAAUCCUUAUCAUUGAUGAGUUUUUUAUAUGACCUCCUUACUAAGCAUGAUAAAGAAACAAAUUGAACACAUUGAUGCAUUUAAGAGAUAUUUAAUAAUUAUUCUAAUUUUAAAAAGUAUCUAUAAUAUACAUAAAGAAAACUACCUCCUUUCAACACUUUUGGGUUGAAUUUUUCUUUCUAAAAAUGUCAUCAAUUUUCAAUACAAAUAAUACAUAUAAUAAAUAGACAAGAAUAAAUUUAAAUAUUAAAAAAACGUAACAAAUACGAUAUGAAUAUAUAUAUAUAUAUAUAUAUAUAUAUAUAUAUAUGUGUGUGUGUGUUUUUUUUUUCUUUAUCAUUUAAAAAGUGUAACAAACUAAAUGAGUAUAUUUAUAUUUAAUUUUUUCCAAUUACAUCUUUAAACAACUUUUUCUAUAAUAAAGAUUGUUGUUGGUGUUAUUGAAAUAAAUAAUCAUGUUUAAUUUGGUUUGUUAUACCUAGAAAGCAACAAAAAUUUAUAUUUUUAGUUUUAAUCAAAAUCAAAAUUUCAUAAAAAAAAAAAUAUAAUUCAUAAUUUUCAAAUUUUAACGCGGUAAAAAGAGUGAAAAUACGGGCACGUAAGUGCCCAUCUUUACGCUAAUUUUUAUAAUUGCAUAAGUGACUUUUUAGCUGAUGAAACGAUAUCAUAAUCUUUAUAAAUUGUAAAACCACAUUCUAUUUGUUAUAUGCAAAAGGCGAGAAAUAUGGCUAAACUUGUCAAGCUUGUUUAUGUUAUAAUUGUGUUUUAUACCCUAUUUCUUGUUGCAACGGAAAUUGUUUGUGAGCUAAUUUUUCAUACUCUUGAAAUUUCCUUUUAUUUCUUUUUAUCUCGUUUUAGUAACAUUAUUUUGUUCUUUUUCCUUCAAUACAGCGGGUAUUCCUUGUAACGAUGAUGUUGAUUGUCCACAGACUCUGUGUGAACAGUUAAUUGCCGACUUCAAGUAUAUGAUAGAUUUUAAGUCGGAGUGUGUUUCCCGUAUGUGUGCAUGUACCGGAAGUCCCGUUUAAGCUGCACUGGUGGUUGGUUUUGGUUCAAAAUGGAACAAUGAAAAAUACCUUUAAUAUUGGGUUGCUUAUAUAUUUUCACCAUAGAUGUGGAAAUCAUAAUAGGCUAUUAAUAAAAUUAUAAAUUAUACAUGUGGCCUUUAAAUAUCUUUUCUACGUACCCUUGUUAUUAAUUAAUUACUAAAAUCAAAAGAAAUUUCCUUCUCAAUUACAUGUCGUUGAGUUUUCCACCUAGAUAUGUGUUGUAUUUUUUUAUCUUAUUAAAAUAACAUAAAAUCUUAUUUACUCUCAAUCAAAAUCAAUCUAGAAUAUAAGGGUGUCUCUAUGUACUUCUCUAGGUGUGUGUUUAAUUGUUUUUUUUGUUGCAUAUAUGCAAAUAUCAAGUCAUAAAAACAUGUUUUACCUUAAUAAACACAACCAGGUGUUACUAAAAAAAUAUAAUCAUAAAAACCUAUAAUGAAAUAUAGAUAUACAAAUCAAGGAUAGAGGGAAAAGAAAUAUCUUCAAAUAAUAGAUGGAAAAUAGUGUUUUAUUUCUUUCUUCAUUACGAGAACUACGAUCUUUGGCUCUGGAACUGAAUCAUUUCCUUGUAUCUGAGAAAGACUUCCAGAUUCAAAGGAAGGAAGUUUAAUUGGACUGAAUCAGAAAUUUUAUUCUAUGAUUGAUCAGUAUAAACAUCAACACCUUCGAAUUGGAUCAGUUUCUCCUGAACAAAUAAGUGCUUGGGCAAAAAAAAUCCUACCUAAUGGAGAAAUUGUUGGAGAGGUAACAAAACCCUAUACUCUUCAUUACAAAACCAAUAAGCCUGAAAAAGAUGGAUUAUUUUGUGAACGAAUUUUUGGGCCUAUAAAAAGUGGGAUUUGUGCUUGUGGAAAUUAUCGAGUAAUCGGAGAUAAAAAAGACCAACCCAAAUUUUGUGAACAAUGCGGAGUAGAAUUUGUUGAUUCUCGGGUACGUAGGUAUCAAAUGGGGUAUAUAAAACUAGCAUGUCCAGUAACCCAUGUAUGGUAUUUGAAACGUCUUCCUAGUUAUAUUGCGAGCCUUUUAGAUAAACCUCUUAAAGAAUUAGAAGGUCUAGUAUACUGCGAUGUGUGAUUUGAUAAAAAUUCUUAUUGUACAGAUUUCAAAUGAGAAACUGUCAUUCCAUUCAAUUAAAUUGGAAUGUCCUCUAUCUGGCAUGUCUCUUGGGAUGAGUAACAUGAAGCUCAGAAUUCAUGGGUGUAUUGAAUACUCCCAAAUCAAUAAGGGAAUUGGUCUAUGGUCAAUUCAGUAACAAAUAAAUAUUUAUUUAUAACCGUACGUACCUUGUGAAAAAAAAAAAAUUAUUUUUUUGUGGAAUUAAUUAUUUCAUCUCUUUUUUUUUUAAGAACUUAAAUUAAGUUCAAAGAAUAAAAUAUAAUAUAUCAUGAUUGCCGAAGUCUAUCUAUCGCAUAUAGGCUUAAAGACAUCGUGGCAUAACCGUCGAGGUGACGUCUUGACCUAAAAGAUCAAAUGGUAUGAUACAUAGACAAAGAAAUCUCUUAUGAAUUCGAGGAUAUUCCUUUUUUUUAUUAAAAAGUAUAUUUUAAAGGAUUCUUCGUUCGAAGGGAGGUAGACUACUCAAGAAUUUUACAUUGAAUUUCUGUCGUAAUUUCGAAUUGCAUAAAGAAUUCAGAAACAAAGAAGAAUGUAUCAAUGAAAUGUUGCUUCGUCUGUAUUGAUAACUUGAGUAAAGAGUAAACCUUUUUUAUUUUAGAUUUAGAGGUUUUCAAAAAUUUGAAAACGGAAACCACUUUCUUUAUCUUUAUUGUGUGUAAAUACUUUAGCCGGAUGAGAGGAAACCCUCACGUCCGAUUUUCAAAGGGGGAGAUCCAUCUUAUUGGAUCCUAUCCAAAUUUUUCGUUUGCUAGGCCCGUAGUUAAAAAACCUACUUUCUUACGAUUACGAGGUUCAUUCGAAUACGAAAUCCAAUCUUGGAAAUACAGUAUCCCACUCUUUUUUGCUACUCAAGGUUUCGAUACAUUUCGAAAUAGAGAAAUUUCUAGUGGAGCAGGUGCUAUACGAGAACAAUUAGUUGAUUUGGAUUUAAGAAUUAUUAUGGAUUCUUCGUUGGUAGAAUGGAAAGAAUUAGGAGAAGAGGGAUCCGCCGACAAUGAAAAUGAAAAUGAAUGGGAAGAUCGAAAAGUAGGAAGAAGAAAGAAUUUUUUGGUUCGACGCAUGGAAUUAGUUAAGCACUUUAUCCGAACAAAUAUAGAACCAGAAUGGAUGGUUUUAUCUCUCUUACCAGUUCUUCCUCCCGAAUUGAGACCAAUUAUUCAAAUAGAUGGAGGGAAACUAAUGAGUUCGGAUAUUAAUGAACUCUAUAGAAGAGUUAUCUAUCGGAACAAUACUCUUAUUGACCUAUUAACAACAAGUAGAUCUACACCAGGGGAAUUAGUAAUGUGUCAAGAAAAAUUGGUACAAGAAGCCGUGGAUACACUCCUUGAUAAUGGAAUCCGCGGACAACCAAUGAGGGACGGUCAUAAUAAAGUUUACAAAUCGUUUUCAGAUAUAAUUGAGGGCAAAGAGGGAAGAUUUCGAGAGACUCUGCUUGGAAAACGAGUUGAUUAUUCGGGGCGUUCUGUUAUUGUCGUAGGUCCAUCACUUUCAUUACAUCGAUGUGGAUUGCCCCGCGAAAUAGCAAUAGAGCUAUUUCAGACAUUUCUAAUUCGUGGUUUAAUUCGAAAACAUUUUGCUUCGAACAUAGGAGUUGCUAAGAGUAAAAUACGGGAAAAAGAACCGAUUGUAUGGGAAAUACUUCAAGAAGUUAUGCGGGGGCAUCCAGUAUUGCUGAAUAGAGCGCCUACUUUGCAUAGAUUGGGCAUACAGGCAUUUCAACCUAUUUUAGUAGAAGGACGUGCUAUUUGUUUACAUCCAUUAGUGUGUAAGGGAUUCAAUGCAGACUUUGAUGGGGAUCAAAUGGCUGUUCAUGUGCCUUUAUCUUUGGAGGCUCAAGCAGAAGCUCGUUUACUUAUGUUUUCUCAUACAAACCUCUUGUCUCCGGCUAUUGGGGAUCCCAUUUCCGUACCAACUCAAGAUAUGCUUAUAGGACUUUACGUAUUAACUAGCGGAAAUCGUCGAGGUAUUUGUGCAAACAGGUAUAAUCCGUUUAAUUGCCGAAAUUCUAAAAAUGAAAAAAUUAGCAAUAAUAACUCUAAGUAUAUGAAAAAAAAAGAACCCUUUUUUUGCAAUUCCUAUGAUGCAAUUGGAGCUUAUCGACAGAAAAGAAUAAAUUUAGAUAGUCCUUUUUGGCUCCGGUGGCGAAUAGAUCAAUGCAUUAUGUCUUCAAGAGAAGUUCCUAUCGAAGUUCACUAUGAAUCUUUUGGUACCUAUUAUGAAAUUUAUGGGCAUUAUUUAGUAAUAAGAAGUAUAAAAAAAGAAAUUCGUUGUAUAUACAUUAGAACCACUGUUGGUCAUAUUUCUUUUUAUCGAGAAAUUGAAGAAGCUAUACAAGGUUUUUCUCGAGCCUAUUCAUAUGGUAUCUAAUCAUAUAGAUGGUUAGUGUUGAUAUCCAAGCUAGGUAAAUUUAUGUUAUGAUACUGGCGUAAAUUCAGGUCAACUAGCAUCUUUUCUAUUUUCUACGUGAAUAAACAUAAAGAAAAGGAAGUUUUCCAAUCAUUCACUCAAAUUCAUUGUCGAACCGAAUCCCACUGAGUGGAAUAUGGAGGUACUUAUGGCAGAACGGGCCAAUCUAGUCUUUCACUUUCUUCCAUGCUUAGUGCGCAUGAUAGAAAGAGUCGAGCUUUGGAGUUUAGAAGUACUUUUUCUUUAUCUUCCUUUGACCAUGAUGCUUCUGGUGUGAGUGUAUCCACCUUUGUUGUUGCAUCAGUUGUCAUAGGUAUAUGUUCUCCAUUUGUGAUUAUUUUCCACAUAUCCACGUCUUGGGAUCUGAGGAAUAGUUUCAUUUUUCCUUUCCAGAAAUAAUAGUUCUUUCCAUUGAAGAAUGGUGGUCUUGUGCAUGAUAGACCUUCUGGUAUGUACUUUUCUUUUGACAUUGCCUUCUUCCUGAAUCUUUUCCUCCAACACUUGUUAGGUGUUUUUGUAGAGCCCGGGCUCUGAUACCAAUUAAAGUAGCAAUAAACGUCACAAGAAAGGGGGGGUUUGAAUUGUGACCCUUUUAAAAAUUAUUCCUGAAACUUAAGUUUAGAUUUAUAUACUCAAGAAUAAUCUUGGUGUAUGUUAGCUUAACAAGAUUAGAGUAUAUAACAAUUAAUUGAAUUUAGAACAGAACAUUCUGAAGACUGAUUAUAAACAGAAUGAGAAAAAUGAUGUUAAGUUAAAAGAUUAUUUUAGCAAGGACCAGAAUGUUCUGGAGAUUAAUAAAAUAAUGUGUGUGUGUGUUGUGUAACUUUAAAUAAAGAGAGAGAUAGAGAUAGAGAGAGAGAGAGAGAAGAAUAACACAGGAGAGUUAUCCUGGUUCACCAAACCCGGCUACUUCCAGUCCCCACACCUCGUGUGAGAUUAUCCACUAUAGUUUUCUUGCUAACAGAAACUUCUGACUAGCACUACAAUAUCUUGAUCACACCAGAUCAGUCCGUAACCUCUGUAUUAUCAACCUCAGCAGGCUUAUACAAUUCUUUGCACACUAGCAAAAGAAAGGUUGGAAUUUUCUAUCUCAAAACUAUUAAGCCCAAUAGACUUUGAGAAAUACAACACUCUUUGUAUGAAGAGAUUUGUUUUGGAUCGAAUAAAUACUCAAAUCUUUGUUUGAGUUUUACAAGAGGCAAAUUCAAGAGAGAUGAUCCAAGAGAUAUAGUGAGAGAGCUUGGAAUUUGCUUUGUUUGUGAAGAGCUUUGUUUGUAGUGAUGAUUUUCACUUUGAGAGAUAUUAGCUUGCAAAACUCUUGCUUAUGACCUUCAAAGGCCCUUGUAUUUAUAGGUGAGGAGUGUCUUGGUACCAAGGGAGAAAAUAGAGCUGUUGGACACGUUUUUGAUAGCUGUCCAAAGUCUCAAUUGAUUUCUCUUUUCUUCUUUAAAAUAGCCAGAACGUUCUCAGAAUGUUCUUUCUGAUUUGCCUGACUUAGAAAGCACUGUUGCUUUGCUUGCGCAUGAGAUAACCAGCUGUGAUGAGCUGUAUAACUUGCAGCCCACUUCUGAUGAUGUCAUGUCCUUUUGCUCUAGUGAUGUCAUGCUUAAGUAAGCCAUGUGAUCUUAUCCAUUUAAUGGGCUUUACUUUUUCAAAUGGGCUUAAAGCUUUUCUUAUGGCCCAAUAGACAUAAUCAGCCAAGCUUUCUUGCUGUGCAGACUUGUUCGCUUUUGAUGUACUGUUCCAUUUUCAUCGUUUUCGCCAGAACGUUCUCAAUUCAUUCUCAUGAAACAAAUUCUCACAAAAACGAAUUAGUAGAUAACAAGAUUAAAUAAAUAUAAUAUGUUUGUAAUCUUUAAAACAUCAAAUAAGGAUUUUGUCUCAACAACUUUGUCCUCCGCACGAUUUAUUAGGAGCUUUGUCCUCCGCACGUUUAAAGUAUAUUAAUACUUAUGAUGACGAUUGGUACCACAUGCAUAUAAGGAGUCUAAGAGCAUUGUCGCAUUGUCGUGUCUAAGAUGCUAUGUUGUUGAUGAUGAUUGAAUAUGUGAUUACGUGAUAAUUGUUUAUCAAAUAUGCAAAGUUGUUUAAGAUUGAAUAUGAUGUUAAUGUUAAUUUAUGAUUCGAAUUACAUUGAUUAAUAUUAUUUUGUUAUGAAAUCUCACCCCUUCUGCUUGAAAAUGUUGCCCUUCGUAUGGGUAACUUGCAGGUGAUCGUGCUUAGUGUGCAGUUUGCCGUUGUGAGUGGCCUUGCCUCGCUGUGUCGUCUAGGUCGCUCUGAUACGUAACGGGAUGGGGUUUUAUGUUAUGCAUGCUUCAUUCUCUUACGUAACUAAUAUGUUAUUUUUAUAAUAUUAUCAAUUAUGAUUUGAAAUAUUUUGAUGGGGCCUGCGUGCCGAAACGUUUUAUGGAUUAUGAUAUAAUUUCCGCUGCAAUGUUUAAGUUAUUUGGUUAAAUUAUUAUUUAACUGUUUUGGAUUAUGUUAUAUGUGAUAUCCCGUUGUUUACGAUGCUUACUCUGAUAAAUGUUUUAAGAAAUUUUUAUAUUGGGAAAACGGAGUGUUACAGAAACUCCCCCUAUAAAUACCGCAUUCCUCAUUCACAAUUUCUCAUUCAUAACGAAGUGGUUCAAGAGGAAUGCAGUCACUAUGCAUCUAGGGAGGAUUCUCUCUCUUCACUCCAAAUUUUUCUAGAGUAUUUUUAUUUCUUUUAUAAUUUCUCUUUAGUUACCAUGGGUAACUAAAUCUUUUUAGGCUUGGGUUCUAAGAUUAACCUCUAUUCUGGUUGUUGGAUAAUUUAUGUAAAGUCUUUAUUUUAGUUAUUUAUCUUUAUGCUACUAGUUUUACUGUUGUUGCGUAAGAUUUGUCUACUAAAGCAUAAUCUACUUAGAAUAAUUGAACGUGAGUUAACUGUUAAUUAAUUCCAACAAAAUGAAUAGAGAUGAUUCAAAUUAUGUUCAAUAUUUAAGCUAACUGUGUCCUCUAUUUAAAUUAAUUGUUAUAUAUUAUAAACCUGAUAUAGCAUAGCCUAUAUAGGGCUCACAUGAAGCGAUCACAAUCGAUAAAACUAUAUUCUAUAGCUAACGGUUGAUCCUACAAUACGCUCAAUCAAUGCAAAAAUAUGUUGUCACCUAUUGGGUUCAUAUUUCUAUAAAUAACUUUGCCACGGCCAAACAGUAUUAUUUCUCUUUUGUGUUUUUUUCUUUUUAUAUCAUGAAAGGUCAAAAUAAUGGAUAUUUGUUAAAAUAAAAUAGCAUGAAUCCUUAUCAUUGAUGAGUUUUUUAUAUGACCUCCUUACUAAGCAUGAUAAAGAAACAAAUUGAACACAUUGAUGCAUUUAAGAGAUAUUUAAUAAUUAUUCUAAUUUUAAAAAGUAUCUAUAAUAUACAUAAAGAAAACUACCUCCUUUCAACACUUUUGGGUUGAAUUUUUCUUUCUAAAAAUGUCAUCAAUUUUCAAUACAAAUAAUACAUAUAAUAAAUAGACAAGAAUAAAUUUAAAUAUUAAAAAAACGUAACAAAUACGAUAUGAAUAUAUAUAUAUAUAUAUAUAUAUAUAUAUAUGUGUGUGUGUGUUUUUUUUUUCUUUAUCAUUUAAAAAGUGUAACAAACUAAAUGAGUAUAUUUAUAUUUAAUUUUUUCCAAUUACAUCUUUAAACAACUUUUUCUAUAAUAAAGAUUGUUGUUGGUGUUAUUGAAAUAAAUAAUCAUGUUUAAUUUGGUUUGUUAUACCUAGAAAGCAACAAAAAUUUAUAUUUUUAGUUUUAAUCAAAAUCAAAAUUUCAUAAAAAAAAAAAUAUAAUUCAUAAUUUUCAAAUUUUAACGCGGUAAAAAGAGUGAAAAUACGGGCACGUAAGUGCCCAUCUUUACGCUAAUUUUUAUAAUUGCAUAAGUGACUUUUUAGCUGAUGAAACGAUAUCAUAAUCUUUAUAAAUUGUAAAACCACAUUCUAUUUGUUAUAUGCAAAAGGCGAGAAAUAUGGCUAAACUUGUCAAGCUUGUUUAUGUUAUAAUUGUGUUUUAUACCCUAUUUCUUGUUGCAACGGAAAUUGUUUGUGAGCUAAUUUUUCAUACUCUUGAAAUUUCCUUUUAUUUCUUUUUAUCUCGUUUUAGUAACAUUAUUUUGUUCUUUUUCCUUCAAUACAGCGGGUAUUCCUUGUAACGAUGAUGUUGAUUGUCCACAGACUCUGUGUGAACAGUUAAUUGCCGACUUCAAGUAUAUGAUAGAUUUUAAGUCGGAGUGUGUUUCCCGUAUGUGUGCAUGUACCGGAAGUCCCGUUUAAGCUGCACUGGUGGUUGGUUUUGGUUCAAAAUGGAACAAUGAAAAAUACCUUUAAUAUUGGGUUGCUUAUAUAUUUUCACCAUAGAUGUGGAAAUCAUAAUAGGCUAUUAAUAAAAUUAUAAAUUAUACAUGUGGCCUUUAAAUAUCUUUUCUACGUACCCUUGUUAUUAAUUAAUUACUAAAAUCAAAAGAAAUUUCCUUCUCAAUUACAUGUCGUUGAGUUUUCCACCUAGAUAUGUGUUGUAUUUUUUUAUCUUAUUAAAAUAACAUAAAAUCUUAUUUACUCUCAAUCAAAAUCAAUCUAGAAUAUAAGGGUGUCUCUAUGUACUUCUCUAGGUGUGUGUUUAAUUGUUUUUUUUGUUGCAUAUAUGCAAAUAUCAAGUCAUAAAAACAUGUUUUA
RNAcentral lists this long non-coding RNA (64303 nucleotides) under Medicago truncatula (barrel medic). RNAcentral describes it as "long non-coding RNA (MTRU_LNC000786)". The record is from RNAcentral. Lineage: Eukaryota; Viridiplantae; Streptophyta; Magnoliopsida; Fabales; Fabaceae.